Molecule: long non-coding RNA, 64575 nt
Filed under: Ananas comosus (pineapple)
Lineage: Eukaryota; Viridiplantae; Streptophyta; Magnoliopsida; Poales; Bromeliaceae
Description: long non-coding RNA (ACOM_LNC009373)
Source: RNAcentral
UGAGGGGAAGUAAUGAAAUGAAAUUAUAUGUAGUUGAAGAGAACUAGAAAAAUUUGAUGAAAAAAGAUUAUAAAUUUAUUAAGAUUCGGGGGCAAUUACUUAUAUAAUCUUGAAAAGUUUCAAACUUUCUUAUUUAACAGCCGCUUAGCAAACUAACAUAAAAAGUACUUUUUUAACGUUUCAAGUUCUUUCAAAUAUACUUUUAAAAUUAGAUUCUAUUAGUAAACUAUUAGAAAUAUAGUACGUUAUCUCUGUAAAAUUACUAUUUUUAUUUUUUCAAAUAUAUCCUUCUAAACUCACUAAUCUUUUUUAUUUGCCCUAAAGUUAAGAAAAAAAGAGGUAUAGAGGUCUUUCAAAUAUACCAUUUUACCGUUACCAACUUUUAUUAUUUAUCCUUACGUUAGGGGUAGAAGAGUCAUUUUGACUUUUUUUUUUUAACUCUAAUGGAAAUUUAACUCGGAUUUAAUUAGAGAUAACUUAACGAGUAAUAAUAGCAAAGUUAGUUCUGAAUAACGGGAAAACAUACGAAGAGUAUAUUUGAAAAAAAAGGGUAUAUAUAAUAUUUCAGAAGUUUUGAGGGGUAUAUAUGUAAUUAUUCCUAAGAUUAAUAACCACCAAAACAGUUACUAUUCAGUGACCUACAAAUGCUCAGUACUACCACAAAUAUAUUUUUUUAAAAAACAGAUGUUGUAUGAUUUGGCACAGAUUAAAUUUCUAAGUUUUGUUUAUUUAUUUAUUUUGAUAAUAUAAAUUAGGAACAAUUUUAUUUUAGAUGUAGAAAUUAAAGAAUCUUACUUCUUUGUCCCAGUUUGUCCUUAACAUGAUGAUUCCAUAGAGCAGAUCCUGAAGGGAAAGAGCACAUAUUAUCCCAAUCCAAAGACCCUGAAAAGUAUAACUAUUUCUUAUACUCAUGUCAAAUAAAUUCAAAAAUAUUAUGGUAGAAAUGUGUAAAGACAACAACAAUAAAAUUAACAAAAAAAAAAAAAAAAAAAAAAAAAAAAAAAAAAAAAAAAAACCACCUUUCCUCUUAAAUGAGCAACAAAAGCCAAAAUAGCAGAAACAGGAACCCCCACAAUGUAGUAAGCUCCAAGAUUAAUGAAUGCACCAAUCUUUUGUAGACCACAUCCUCUUGUAGCUCCUGAAUAUUAGAUAAUAUUAUGUUAAUUUAAAUUCCAAGAGAGAUAGUGCUUGCUCGAUCUAGCUUCUAAAAAAAUCAACUUUUGCGAUGAUCAACGAAUGGAACUUCAAUAUUCGAGAAACUAAGUUCAAAAACUAUAUUGUGCAAGUCAUGAACAGUUCCAACACUAAACAUUUCACUAAACAAAUUUUAAGUAUUUGUUCACACAACAUUAUUCGAGCAGCACUUCUGCUAUACUCUGACCUAGACAAACAAAUCUAAAGUAUGCUUCACAAUGUGAUAAUGAAAGAACAUUUAUACUUGUACACCUCAAAAGGGGUACAGAUCUUACACUCUUCAUCUUAAGAUUUACAAAAAUUCAAAUAGUUUUUAGUUAGAAUAAAAAUAGAUUGAUGUAACAAGUAGAGAAUUAAAGGCUUUUAUAUAAAGUGGGUGUAAGAUGUACACCAAUUUUGGAAUGUACCAGUAACAUUGCUCAUAACGAAAUAGCAAGAUUAGGAAGGUUGUACCAGAAAGCACGCUCUGGAAUCCAUCUACUAGAUGGCCCAGUGCAAGCAAGGGCAUCAGAGCUGCAACAUGUCUCACCACUUCCUUCUCAUUGCUGUAUACUUUACCCCACACAUUCCUCACCAUUAUUAUGACUAAUCCUACGAUUAAGCCCUCCGCUAACGCAAGCGCGGCCGCCACGCGGACCGCCAUGCGUGCAGCGUGUGGACGAUCGGCGCCCAAUUCGUUCGAUACGCGUACGCUACAAGAAAAAAAAAAACACAAGAAAUUAAAGUGUCAUUUAGCUACUACUGUUAACUUUAUUACUGUUGUUGUUGCAAUUAUUAGAAAAGCUAACCUAAUAGCUGUACUGAGACCAAGGAUGAUCAUGAAGACCAUAGAAGCAGUGUUCAAUCUAUAGAAAAAAGGUAAAAGAGAUCAAUAUUAUAAGGUGUUAAUUAAAGAGCAAAACUAACACGAAAAAUCUGGGUAAUAAAAUUUUAAGAAACGUAAAUGAAUUGAAGGAAUAGAUACUUACAUGAUAGAUAACACCGAGGUUUCGAGCUUUGGAUUCGGCAGAAGGCCAGAAAGAAGUAUAAGCAACUCGAACGACCAGAAUUCCAAGCUGUUUCAAAAAAAAUCAAAGACUAUUUGAUAAAAUUAGAAGUAUAUAUAACACUAACUAAUUCAUGCCCAAUUUGCUUGAGAUAGUUGCAAUACAAGAAAAUAGAUUAUUGGCAAAAAUAAAGUGGCGACAAGUUUUAUCGCCAUUAGAUUAGUUAACCUAUAGUGGUAAUACCAUUUUUGCCACCGAAAUAUAUUUUGUCGUCACUGUAUACUUGUAACGCUCCAAUAAGUCUCACAUCGGAUGCAAAAUAAUUUUGAUUAGAAUAUAUGAGACUUUCACAUUAGUAAUAUUAACUGGGUUUAAGCAUUUUGGGCCGGUGGUUUAGGCCCAAUAAGUUAUUAUUGCUAGCGGGUCGGGUCGUUUUAAUUAGUAUCAGAGAUGUAUACCAGUUGGAAGUGUGAGAGCUAAGUGCUAUGCAGGGCAAAAUGCUACAUUAACGGAUUUAAUAGGAGUCACCUCUUGAACCCGUAGAAGUCACCUCUAAAAUCUCACAUUUCGCCUGAUAAUUCUAAUCUGUCUGUAAUCUGGAUUUGGACCUGACGAAGACGUCAAUAAGCCUCUACGCUAGUAAUAAUAACCGGACUUAAAUAUUUUGGGCCGGUGAUUUGGAUCCAACGAGUUAUUAUUACUAACAAGUUGGGUCGUAACAAUACUGACAUGUAGUGAAAAAAAAAAAAAUUCCAUUAAUUAGUUUAAGUUAAAUUGUCGCAAAACCCAUGGAUUCAUUUACCAGGGAGACCAACUGCGGCAACAUGUGGCGACAAUUUUUGUCGCCAUUAUGUACAUUUGGUGGCGACAUUUGAUAUAUUCGGUGGCGACUUCAGUCAUCACUGUACGAUAAUUAAUUUGUAGUGUUGAGAUACCCUGGUUACAACUUUGAAUGAAGCUCAACAUACCACAUCAUAAGGGCAGACGGAACGGCUAGUCUAAUGAAGCUGAAAACAUUUUUCAGAGCCUCCCUGGAAAAUCCAGUCCAGGUUGUGUUGAAUGCGGGGGACAGCUUGAUAUAAAGAGCCAAAAGCAAUACAUUAAACCAAUACGAGAUCGAAUUCGCCAACGCCGCGCCUCUGUUGCCGAGGCCGGAUUUGAACACCAGGAGCCAACACACAAGGAUGUGGAGCAGAGAAGUAAUCCCCGAAGUUAGCAUGAGAGGAAGGACGAUGUUCUGCGUCUGCAUGAAUCUAACUUGGCAUUGCAGGACGGCGUAUCCGAAAAGCGCCGGAAUCAUCCAGCGAGCGUAGAUUCCGGCUUCUGCUGAGAUCUCGCGAUCUUGUCGAAGCGCGACGAGGAUGCGGCCCGAGAAAGCCCAGAGGAAUGAGACGGGGACGCUUACGAGUGUUAGUACAAGCAUUGCCCUUUGCAUGUGUAUGCCCAGCAUGUAGUUCUCUUUCGCGCCGAAGGCUUGGCCGCAGAAAGUGUCCAGAGCACUCCCCAGUCCAAUCUUGUUCAUGCAUCAAUUAAUUUGCAGUAAAAGCAUAUCAAAACAUAUUUCUCCGUUUCUCGAUAGCACUACAUUUCUUAAUAGGACGGUAGAAAUUUUAUCGUAAUCGACUCAUUGCGAUUUACAGAACAUGAUAUUAUGUACAUAUACAAAUAGAAAACUCAUUUCAUAUAACAUAACCUUUCUGCAAUUAGAAACAAAGCCUAAAUCUCAGCAAGUGGCACCAUCCCGUAGAGGGGGGGGGAGAGAGAGCGCGUGUACUACGCACGAAAGGAAAUAGAAAACUCACUAUCCGUAACACAAUCUCCUUAUAAUAAAAAAACAGAGCCUAGGAAAACAAAUAAAAUACUCACUAUCAUUACAGAAAUAACGCCUACGGAAACAAAUAAAAAACUCACUAUUCGUAAUACAAUCUCCUUACAAUCAGAAACAGAGCCUACAAAAGCAAAUAAAAAACUUAUUAUCUGUAACACAAUCUUCCUAUAAUCAGAAACAGAGCCUAAACCUCAGUAAGUGGCACCAUCUCAUAGAGUGGAGAGGGAGGGUGUGGGGGUAGGGGGGAAGAGAGAGAAAGCACAUGCACUUACAAUGAGACCAAAACCAGUGAACCCAGCAAAGGAGGUGGCCAUGGAGGCACCAGAGAGAGCCAACUCCCCAAGAUGGCCCACAAACAUAACUGAGAUCAUGCCAAGAGCAUUAAGGAGAAGGUUUGAUACCACAAGGGGCCAUGCCAACCCCAAUUGCUUCCUCACCUCCUUCACCACCUCUUCCUUGUUACUCCCCAUUUGUGGCCACCACUCCCACCACCCCACUCUAAAUAUUAUUAUGUAUAUUUACUUCUUAUAAUGUGAGUAGUAGUGUGGAGAAGGAGCAAGGGAUAAAAAGUGGGGAGCACAAAUGUUGUGAGGGUCCACAUGUCAGCUUCAUAAGAUACUUCUUUUUUAAUUUUAAUGUAAUGUAAAGGGAGCUGAUGAUCCAUGUGUCAGCUUCACAAGAUUACGUAUUUAUAUUCAUAUGAAAACUUGUAGGAAAAUGCAUGCUUAGUGGUUUAUAAAUGUUGUUUUCUUUAUAGAAUUAUUAAUAUAUAUAUUAGUAAAUUUAUUUGAUGGUCACCCAGGCUUAAGUUGCGGUAAAAAUAAAAAGAGAGACAAUUCUUCGACAAAUACGAAAAUAUUAUUAAUCAGUACGUAUAUACAUAGGGUUGGAUAUUUGAAUCCUACUAUAAUUGCAGAUAAUAAAUUUUAGUAUAUCUAUAGAUCUAAGCCUAUAAAAAGUAAUCAAAUAAUCAGACACAAAAUACAAAAAUUUUUAAAAUAACCUAAAAUUGCAAAAACAAGAGGUUUAAACAGUUUAAUUUGGAUCCCAAAAAUGACCAGAAGGGCUUUACCUUUUGACGCGUAGAUCUCGAAAGGUGUCUUCGAAUUAGGGUUGUAUGCUGAUCAAAACAGAUACUCAAGCGAAAAAUUACGACCGUUUAAAAACUUUCCGCAAUGAUUGUAAAAUUGCCGGUGGGAAUUUCGGCCUAACUUGAUUGAGCCAUACUUUUCACGAACUUUAAUGCUAAAUUAGCCGCAUCAAAUAGUUUUAAAAUGCAUGUAUUAAUUAAUUAAAAAUUUUGUAUUAUAAGUGUCAACAUAUUAAUAAGAGUUGAGAGGUGCGGUACGUGCUUCCAAAAGAACGGAGGCCUUUAUACUUUUCUUUUAUAUUUCAUGAUCUAACUAAUUAACAUGCGGAUCGACAGUUUGUUCCUUUAUAUAUAAUCCAUAUUAUUAAAAGUAUCUAGGCACUAAAUUUUGUGAUUUCUUGUAUCAUUUGCCCAGUGAUCUAAUCAUCUAAAAACAAACUAUUAAUUAAAGUAGAAAUUUUAUUGAAACUGAUUUUACAAGACUUAGAUUAGAGAUCGAUUUUACUUGCUUUGGAUUGUUCUAUACAAUUAAAUUUGCGAACAUAUAAUUAAAAUUGGCAAUUAAAUAUAUCAAUUUUAAGACUUUUCGAUCACUAGAACAUAUUAAUAGUGCCGAAAAGCCAUAAAUUUGAUAUCUAAAUAAUUUAAAUAGUUUAGAUCAUACUAAUAGAGCCAAUGGUGAAUUUAAAUAUCCCGUUAUCAAAAGUAUAAUAAAAAUAUAAAAAUUUUCGUACUUUCGAAAGAAUUUCUAAUGCACUCUACUAAUAGUAGAUACAAACAAUAUUUGGAAUGACCUUACUGCCAUUAAAAUAGGCAUGUGAAAACAUAUUACUCUCUCUUUCUAAUAUUGUUAAAAUUCAAAAAAAUAAUUGUAUAAAUUCUAGGGAUAGGAAUACAACUCAUGGAUUCAAGAUAGUAAUCCUAUAAUCUUUUUGGGUUGUAGAUUAAGCAGUUCCUUUUUCCUGUUUUUUAUUUUGCGGAUUUAGAUAAUAUAUACCUAAUAAGACAAAAUUACCCAAACACUAAAACUUGUAUUUGGGGCUUCUUAUAUAUGCAUGUUGCCAACUCACUAAUGUUUCUCCUUACAAGCAUCUCCUCAACNUUUUUUUUUUUUUAAGAGAUAGGUAGCACGUUACCCGCUUCGUUUAUUUCAUUUAGAAAUAAACUUAGCUAGAAAUGUGAAUCAACUAAGAUUCGAACUUGGGUCUCGGGUACCAACCACCAAACCCUUUGCUACUUGCUUUAGGAGCGGUCGGUAUCUCAUCAACUACCUUCGUAAUCUCUUUUUCAAGUUUCACACUUUUUAAGACUCUUCAAAGCCUAAUUUACUGCUACAAUAUUUUUUUUUUUUUUGAGAGAUAGAUAGUAUACUACUCGCUUUGUUUAUUUCAUUUAGAAAUAAACUUAGCUGGAAAUGUGAAUCAACUAGGAUUCGAACUUGGGAUCUCGGGUACCAACCACCAAGCCCUUUGCCACUUGCGCUAGAGACGGUCGAUAAUUUACUGCUACAGUAUUGGUAGUUGGUAAAGGACACUGGUUUCAAACAUAGCAAAUGUAGUUUGGUUCGACCUAAUUAUAAAUACAGUAAUUUGAAGAUACAUGCAUGUAGUUAGAAAUACAAUAAGUAUAAUUAUAUGCAUUUGAUUUAGUUAGAUCUAGUUAAAAAAAAACUUGCAGGUAUGAAUACUUUGUUUGGUUACAUGCUGUUAAAAAGUGCAUUUAAGAAUUUUUAUUAUUUCAUACAUGUGGUAGUGAGAUUAUCUUUUAUGUAGAAAAGAAAAAAAAAAAAAAAAAGAUAGUGGAGAAGUAAGCUAAUCUCUGUGUAAAAUUAGUCUCUCCAAUUGCUGCAGUUAGAAUUGCAGUCAAUUUAUGCGUAGUUGCAAUUGCUGUAAUUAAGCCUUCUCGUGCAGUUGAAUUUAAACGCAUCAAAAUAUGUAAACACCGGAUUUGGACUGCAUGCAGUUGUAGCUGCAGUGCAGUUGCAAUUACGUAUAACCAAACAGCCGCUAUUUGUUAUAUGAGAUGACUACUUAAGAGGUUGAGAAUUCAAAUUUGAAUCUCGUAAAAAAUUAUUAUACAUGACUAGUUAAACUUGAGAUUAAGAGUGCUGAUCUUGUUAUGGCAGUGACGAGAAUUUUUUAUCAAUUUUAUUAAUUUGGAUUAUUUAAAUAUUAAAUUUACAAAUAUAAUAUAUUGGCAUGUAAAUUUGUCAAUUUUGAGUCUUUUCAUCGCUAGGCAAAUUAUUGUGUUGUAAAGCCAUAAAAUGCUACAAUAGUGGUAAUUAGUAUAAUAAUAAUUGCUAAUUGUUUGUAUCAUUACACUCUUUUAUUAUUUUGUUUAAAUAUUAAUUUUAUAUAAUUUAAUGUAUUGAAAAAAUAUCUUUUUUAAUUAUCAUAGUUGAUUAGUUCACAAUACAUUCGGCUAAGAGAUGGGCGAUAACCUAUUUUUUAAAAAAAUUAGAAGCAAAUAAAAUUGUUUUAAAUUUUUUAUUAUUAAAUAAAUAUCUUGCGUUAAAGAAUUAUAACUAAUUCACUAUCCACUCCUAUAUCUUUUCCAAAAAAUAAAAUAUGAAGAAAUGACCAUGAUACCAAACGAGGUCAAAGUUUGUAAUAUUUUGUUUUUAUUUUAAAAUUACAUAUGAUAUUAUGAUGUGAUGGGCCAAGUCUGACUACUAUACUUUUAUGAGUAUAGAUUUUUUUUGUAUUCAUAAAUUUUCGGCCAUUAGAUGUAUCAUUUAGACUAUUUUCAUCCAUUAGAUCAUAUUAUUCAACCAAUCAUCCACUCAAAUUUAGGAAAUCACUAUUAUCCUAACUGUGAACCACUAUCAUCCUAAUCAUACAUCUCUUCAUCCAACGGUCGAAAACUUAUGAAUAUAAAGGGGUCUAUACUCAUAAGAGUAUAGUAGCCCUAGCCGGCCCAAAUAUUAAUUUAUUUAAUUCCCUUUUUUACUCAAACAAACAAUAUACUUUUUCUAGUUAAUCAAACCUUUAAACUAAGGCUUCUUCUGGAAUUGCGGGAUGAUUGCGUUACGUGUGGUUAUUAUAUAUUUUCUGCGAUCCCACCGAAAAAUGCAGAAGCAUAUUCAUAUAUACUUUUUUCCUAACUCCAUUUUAUCUAACAGCGUUAGAUAGAUCUCAAUACCAAACUAAGCCUAAAAGUAAGAUUACAUAAGUGAAUAUUUGAAUGGUCAUUAAUAGAUUUAGUUGUUAUAACUUCUUUUAUAUUCUAAUGACCAAUGUUAUUGUUAAUUAUUAGUAAUUGUUUGUGUUUUCUGUAGAAUUUAUUUUAAGUUGGAAUGCUUUUAGAUUUUGAUACCUUCUCCACUACAGUCCACAAAAUCUCCAACUCCAUUAGUUGCAGUGCAUCUAAUUAAAAGCUCGCCAACCAAAGGUUACAUUUAGGGCACGUUUGGUUCAGAUAGAAAUCGCAAUCGAAAUGAGAAUGAGAACGUGAAUGAAUCGAAAUCGGAAACAGAUUAAGAGGAAUCGGAAUGGGAAAAUCAUAUUCAAGUUGAUAUUCAAAAAAUUUAAAUUUACUACUCAAACCCGUAGUCAAAAUUUGAAUCUACAUUUAGACUCUCAACUUGAAUUUAAAAUUUGAAUAUAUCACUUAAAUUCAAGUUAAACUCAAAAUUCAAAUUUAAAGCUGAACUCAAAUAUCAACCUUAUAUUAGAAUUUAAAUUUAAACUUAGAAAAUUAAAAUUUUUGAAUUUUGAAUUCAAAUUAGUUAUAAGGUUAAAUAUAGAUUAAUUGUUGGUGAAGAAAAAAAAAGUAAUUAUUUUCUCAACACCUCUAAAAUGGGAAUUGAGGAGAUUCGAUUUCUAUGUCUGAAUGAGAGUCAGAAUAUAUAUCAAUCCUUCAAACCAAAUACUACUAAUAAUUACGAAUGAAUUAAUCUGAUUCUCAUCCCAAACCUCAAAUCCUUUAAACGGAACAUUCAAAUCAUACAUGUUGUUAGAGAAAUCAUUGAGACAACGUGGUCCACCAUGCUAAUCAUAGAUUCCUAAAAAAUAAACUAGAAUUUUAAUGUAAAGCAGUGAUCCCAAAAAAAGAUAUGGAACAUACAGCGCGCCGUAGGAUACAUAUAAAUAUAUAUGUAUCUAAUCAAUUCCAAGCCGUACAAGAAAACAUAAAAUAUCAGAUACAUCUAAUAUAUAUAGUGUUCUCUAUAACAUAUGAUUUAACAGUUUGAAAUUACGUAUUGUCAUGUCCUAUCCCACGUGCAUGGUAAUAGUCUAAUCAAGAAUAAUAUGAAAUUUAUUUAUCAAAUUAAAGUUCAGACCAAAUAGAACCGAAAUUGUACGAUAUGUAAAAAAAGAGUGUGUAUAUAUAUGUAUGUAUAUAUAUAUAUAUACCAUUAAGCUGAGGCCGGUGACGAAGAGGAAGCUGGUGGCGACGGCGGUGCCGGAGAAGACGCGCUGGCCGAGGCGGCCGACGAACAUGAGCGAGAUGGCCUGCCGGCUGAAGCUGAGCAGGUUGGCUACCACCACCGGCACGGCCACCUUCAGCUGCUUCUUUGCCUCUUCCACCACCCCCCUCUCUCCCUCUCCUUCCAUUUUUAUUUCUCUUCACUUUGUUGGUGUGCCCCUCGCUCUCUAAUAUAAAAAAGGGGACAAAACUUGAGUGGAGAGCUCCUCAACACCGUCUCGUUGGGGAGUCCUUGAUUCGCUAUGAAGUAUUAGUUUCGUCUCAGUGCAAUGGUUUGUCGGAUGUUUUUUAAUAUUAAAAUUUAAAAAAUAAAAUUAAAUUUUUUAAAAAAGUAUAUAUAGUUUUUGAAUAAAGAUAAAAAUAAUACAGAACAACGAAUUUAGACUCUUUAACGAAACGUCAUUAGGAAUCACCCACUAAAGUUUUUUCCCAAAAACUGUGGAAAGCCAAAAAUUAUAUGGAAAAGGUGGGGGUAGGGAACAAACUUAUCUUUUAUCUUUUUCUUUUUUGGAUAAAGUGAACUACUAUCUAAUUCUUCUAAUUUUAGAAAUAAUCAUUUUUUUUUGUAAGAACUUAAAGUGUUUAGAAAAUAGUAUUUUAUUAUUUAUAUUCAACAUUCUCAUUUAUAUUUCGGCUGGAGCCUCUUCGAUAGGCCGAAGACGAUGACUUCGAAAGUUAAUAGAAAAAAAUUAAGUGAGAGUAGAAAUCUGAUGGUUCAAACUUAAAAUCUUCUUUUCUGAUAUUGUGUUAAAUUACGUAAAACAAUUAUUUUUCUUCAAAAUUUUAAGCCAUCAGAAAAAGAACGUUUUUAAUAUUUAUAUUCAACAUAUUGCAAUACACGUAUGUCUUUUUCGCUCGUAGUACGUAGAAUUCUAUUACAUAAUUUUGAUCGAGUGAGUAUCGCUCAUAGUAUUAACGUUUAUGCUAUUUAUCUAUAAAAUUAUAACUUCAUUUCGAUGCAGAACUACCUAAUUAGUGUCAUAUAUACUUUUCCUCCUCAAAUAAUUUUUCUUUUUAAUUUAUUAAGAAGUGCUUAUGUAUGCUUUUGUCUUAAUUAAUUGAAGGUGCAAUUAUAAUCCUUCCAGAAUAAAUUGCACUUUUUGGUCCUCAAACUGUGAGGCAGGUGACACUUUGGUCUUCAAACUUUUAUUUAUCAUAAUUUCUGGUUCAAACUUUUCAAAUUAUUUAACUAAAUUUUAACGCAUCGGUGAUGUAAAAGCAAUAUGACAUCUCAAUUAUUACGUAUUAUCGGUUAUAACACUACCACUUUACCUCUACAUUAGUAAUAUAUCAAUAAUUAGUUAACUAAAUUGUGUUAUACAAUUUAAUUGCAAAAAUUUUAAAAGUUCGAGCGAAAAAUUAUGAUAUAUUGAAGUUUGGGCACCAAAAUGUUACAGUCUUAUAGUUUGAGGACCAAAUGUGCAAUUUAUCCUCUUUCCACUUGGUGCCCUUCUAUGGUGGGGGAGCUCUCCAUUUCCACCUGCACGAACUAAAAGAUUUGUAUGUAGUGGCAUUUCUUUACAAUUUUUUUUUUCGGGGUUUUUUCGCAAAUAGCCCCCUGACAAAUUUUAUUUGCAAAAAUAGCCCUGUCUAAAAUUUAUUUACAAAAAUGGCCCUGGCCCUGCCACGCCAGCGCCACGUCAGCGCCACGCGGGCAGGGUCUGGGCCAGGUAGUCAAGUUGAACACGGUGAUUGGUUCACCGUGUCUAAACACGGUGAACCAAUCACCGUGUUCAUUGUGUUAAAAAAAUCACACCCCGCCCGGGGCGUUACUAUUGCAUUAGACACGGUGAUUCGUUCACCGUGUCUAGACACGGUGAUUCGUUCACCGCGUCUAGACACGGUGAACAAUUUACCGUGUCCUUCACUUCCAUUUUUGGCCAAACACGGCCUGGCUACUUGUAUUGGUCACGGACUUAACCAUUUUCGGGGGUGCUGAAUACAUUUGUAUUGGACACGGUGAACCACUCACCGUGUCCAGAGAUUUGUAUUGGACACGGUGAAUGGAUCACCGUGUCCAAUAGAUUUGUAUUGGACACGGUGAAUGGAUCACCGUGUCCAAUACAACUGCCCACCCAACUAAAAAUUUGCCGCAGAAAAAUCAAUUACAAGAUUCAAUACAAGAAUACAAUACAGAUACCUAUCAAUACACAUCACAACACAUCACAACAUCACAAAAGUAAUACACAUCACAACAUCACAAAAUUAAUACACAUUACAACAUCACAACCAAUAGAAUCUCAAUAAUAUAAUCAAUACCAAAUAAUCAAAACAGAAUAUACAAAAUAAAUGCAAGUUAUACAAUAAUAUAUAAAUAUAAUAUCAUGUUCUCCUCCCUCGACCUCCUCGACCACGUCGCCUACCACGUCCGCGACCACGACCAACAUCAUGCUCAUCAAAAGGCUCCAAGAUCUCCAACUGGUCUAGAUGCUCUAUAGCAGCACCCUCAAUAACCGGCUCAAUCACAGCAGUAGCAUGUGCCGGUAGUAUGUCUGGCCGUGGAGGAGCUGAAGAGGAGGGCUGAUCUGGCCGUGGAGGAGCUGAAGAGGAGGGCUGAUCUGUACGGAUAGACCUCGAUCGCCGUCGACGCCUAAAAUAAACAAUAUCACCUGCUCGAGCUGGAUCCUGCGGUACUGGUGCUGGUGCCGGGUCCGUAACAUCAGCAUAAGGUGGCUCCCCUAUCGGUGAUGAUGGCAUCGGUGGACUAUAUACGGGUGCAUGGCCGGACGUCGAUGCUCCACCAUAGUCUGCUGGUCCUGGAGGUACAUAGUGUGGAAGCGUAGGUAAAGUCUCCAGAACUGCCUCCAUCUGAUCGGCGACCUGUGAUAGGGUAGCUAAGACUCCACCUCCUGAAAUAUCGGAUUGGACACGUCUGAUCGUAUAAUGUGAUCUCUGCACGAUAUCAACCUGAAAUAAAAGCACAAUCAAAAAAGAUUAUACGAAACUUUCUUGUAUAUAUAAAAAUUAAUAUAAAAAGAUAUUUGCAAUUACAUUCAUACCAAUACUCUCUCGACGUGUCCACGUGGCUGAUAGGCAAGUGGUGGCCGCUGUACAGGUCUAGAUAUCCACCUCCUGGUGAUCGUCCAAUACCACUGCAUGUAAACAGUGGUAUCUCGUAUCGAAUCUGGAUCUGUCCCAGGGGCCACCUCUGCUAUCUACUAAUCUAUCAUUCCAACGCUCAAUGUAUGAGGCGUGGUAUGCCGCCCAAUCCUCAUCUGCUCUGCCUCGUGAAUUGAUGCGAGGUAUGGCAAGCACAGGUUCAGGUAUAUGCUGUAGUAGCCCAAACUGGCGAAGCACACGAUCGGGAUGAUGGAGCUCAAUAAUGUGGAAGCAGACUAAGGUAGUCGUCGAUCGGGCUUGGUCCAUUCACGAUGAGUACAUGAUGGAUCUUCAUUUUGAUAAGGAGGGAUAGUAUUUCUUACUGGCCAAGCCGACCAUUGAUGAAUACUAGAUUGUCCUGGACCUUCAUCUACAUAAGGAGUGUUAGUAUUUCUUACUUCCCAAGCCGGCCAUUCAUGAACACUAGAUGAUCCUGGACCUUCAUCUACAUAGGGAGGGUUAGUAUUUCUUUCUUCCCAAGCCGGCCAUUCAUGAACACUAGAUGAUUCUGGCCCUUCAUCUACAUAGGGAGGGUUAGUAUUUCUUUCUUCCCAAGCCGGCCAUUGAUGAACACUACAUGAUGGACCUUCAUUUUGAUAAGGAGGAAUAGUGGUUCUGACUUCCCAAUCCGUCCAUUCGUGAACAUAAGAUGAUGGUCGUGGGCUUUGAUAAGGAGGGACAGUAGACCUGUAGAGAUAUAUAAGAUUAACUAUCCACAUUGAUUUUUUACGUAACUAAAUCAUACAAUCACCUACCACUCAUUUUGAUCAACCAACGGAGACGGAUCCAUCACAGCAGAUGGCAAUGCUGCACUAACUGGCUGAGAUGGAACUCCAAACUCUCUGAAACACUUACAAGACAAAGUUAUUAAUUUCGCGCACCUAAACUAAUUAAGAAAUCACGAAAAAGAUUUAUAAAGAUCAUUACUUUAUACCUUGAUGUACGACCUCGUUCGCGAUUGACGUAAUUCCUUUGAUCAUUGCGGGUACGACACAUUUUCGUUUGAUAAACGGUAUUUGGACGGUCGUGUGCCGUCGACCCAUCUUUCUCCACGUAUAAUUUUAUACAUCCAUGGAACGGAAAUAUACUUAUCACGCCAGAUAGUGUAUUGUCAUUUGAUACGUUAACAAAUUCCCAUUCGCCUCCCAUUGGACAUUUCACCGUGAUGCGUAGACGGUCUUCCACUCGAUCAUAAUUAGUAACAUUGUAUAUUUCCAUCUCUAAAUCCCGAAAUGAGAUAUUGCGUCGGACCGCAACCAAUUCUUUACGGCCACCAAUAUAUCGUGGUACAUUAUUGUUCUCGACAAAAUUUCCGUCCCAAUGGAUAUAGAAAGGAACAAUGUCGCCAGAUAUAGAGUUCUAAAGUUAUAUAUUAACAUGUAAAAAAUUAUUAAACUCAAGACAUAUCACAUUUCUAACAUACAACAAAAGAGAGGGUAAAAAGAUGGUAUUACCAUUGUACAAGCACGGUCGGCGGGCGCGACUACUUUGCCAAUUAAGAACGCAAAAAUAACCUUUGACAAAGAGACAGACAACAAUAAGUGAAAGAGGAGGGUGUGGGGGGUUGCAGAGAGUUUGAGUGGGGGGAGGGGCAGUGGGGGGAGGGGGGGAUUCUCACUGUGAGAAGCCUCAAACCCCCCGUGCCUUACAGUGGCUUCUCACUGUGAGAAGCCCCCCCGCGCCUCACAGUGAGAAGCCUCACAGUGGCUUCUCACUGUGAGGGGGGGGGGGCAUUCUCAGAGUGAGGGAUUCUCACUGUGAGCGCUUCUCACUGUGAGAAGCCAAUGUGAGGGACUUCUCACAGUGAGAAGCUUCUCACAGUGAGGGACUGUGAGGGGGCUUCUCACAGUGAGAAGCCCUUCUCNGGAGACACCGGGUGUGGCGGCGGCGGCCGCUGCGGCGGCGGCGGGAAUGGGCGGAGACACUCCGAAGAGUGUCACUCUUCCCGAAGAGUGACACUCUUCGGGGGAGUGUCAGGGAGUGACACUCUUCGAAGAGUGACACUCUUCAGGGGAGUGAGAGAGAGAGAGAGAGAGAGAGAGAGAGAGAGAGAAGCUUCUAGGGCUAGGGAGAACGAGGAAUGAAGCUACCUCAGGCAACAAAGGGCGGCGGCGGCGGCGGCGUCGGCGGCGUCGGCCAGAGAGAGAGAGAGCAAGAGGAAGAAAGCGAGAGAGAGAGAGAUCGAGAGAGAGGGAGAGAUCGAGAUAGAGUUCGGGGGGGGGAGUGUAUUCAAAGAGAACACGGUGAAUGGUUCACCAUGUCCAGGACACGGUGAUCCAUUCACCGUGUCCAAUACAAAUCUCUGGACACGGUGAGUGGUUCACCGUGUCCAAUACAAAUGUAUUCAGCAACCCCGAAAAUGGUUAAGUCCGUGUCCAAUACAAGUAGCCAGGCCGUGUUUGGCCAAAAAUGGAAGUGAAGGACACGGUAAAUGGUUCACCGUGUCUAAAUGCAAAAAAAAGACACGGUGAACGAAUCACCGUGUCUAAUGCAAUGGGCGAGGUGGGAGAACUCAAAGAACACGGUGAUUAGUUCACCGUGUUUAGACACGGUGAACGAAUCACCGUGUUCAACUUGAAUACCUGGCCCAGACCCUGCCCGCGUGGCGCUGACGUGGCGCUGGCGUGGCAGGGCCAGGGCCAUUUUUGCAAAUAAAUUUUACACAGGGCUAGUUUUGCAAAUAAAAUUUGUCAGGGGGCUAUUUGCAAAAAAAGCCCUUUUUUUUCCUUUCACUUUCUUUUUUAAGUGGGAUAUGUACCUUUUUUUUCUAGGAGAAAUUGCUCAUACAUUUCAGAAAAAAAUUUCAACUUUUUUAUUUAUCACUCUUAAAAAGCUAGUAUUUAUAAUUUCUCUUAAAAAGCUAAUAUUUAUAAUAUCUUUUUAACGUCCCAAAAUCUUUCAAAUAUAUUCCUAGAGUUAAAUUUUGUUUAGUAAACGAUUAGGAACAGUCGUUAGCUUUGUAAAAUUAUCAUUUUGUCCUUUCAAAUAUGUCAUUUUAUUGUCAUCAACUUUUUUUAUUUGCCUUUAAUUUAGGAACAAAGUAAGUAUUUUGACUUUUUACGUUUUCAAAUAUACCUUUUUACAGUCACAAUUUUUUCUUAUUUGCUUUUAAGUUGGGGUUAUGGUAAAAAUUUAACUCAGAUUUAAUCCGAGAUAAUUGAACGAGCCCUAAUAACAUGUAUAUUUUUGAAUAACGAAGAACAUAUAAAAAAUAUAUUUGAAACAAAAAAAUAAAAAUAAAUAAAAUAUUUGAGAAGUUCUGUAGGGUAUAUAGAUAAUUAUCUCUAUUUUUUUUAGCCCUUUUUAACCCGUCUUUAGUUAAAAAGGAUCAAGAUACUUUUUUUUUUUUGUUUUUUUGAUAGAUGACAUUAUAAAACCAUUUCAGUUCUAACCAAAAAGAAAAAUAAAAAAAGCGCUAGUCCCGAACUAGUAAAUGAUGAUUUUUGUUGAAACGGUUGACAGAAAUAAAUUUAAACUAAUCAAAAAUAUCGGAUUACUUAUCAACAAUUUUGUCACAAGAGACAAAAUCAUCAUUCUUGGGUAAAAUUUUUUUUCACCAGUCACAUGAUGUGACUCGUAAAUUACACCCUACAUAAGGAUGGGUGGGCUUGUAAGAUAUACAUCCUUCUUAGGGUAUACCAUUAAUAUUUUCUAUUUUUUACCAUGAUACAUUAUCAAUAAUUUAAAAAUCGGGUUUAACACACCGAUUCGACAGAUCCGAUCGUGACAUCAGUUUAUAAAGUGAUUUAGUUCAAUUUUUUAAAAGAAUAAGUUAAAAAAAUACUUUGAACGUUUCAAGCCAUUGAACUGGUGAACCGAUCGAUUUUAAUCAAAUCAGCCAAACUUUUUUUUAUCAAGUCAUGUUAAAUUCUAACGACUUUAAAUUAAAUUAGCUGAUUUUAUUUCUAUUAGCAACAAAUUAAUCUUAUAUAAAGUGAAACUUGAAUAUUAUAUAUAUAUACGUAAUUUGGUUUAAAAAUUAAUAUUUUAUAAUUAAAUAUGAUACUAAAACAAAAAUAUAUGUAUAUUAUUUUAUAAUAUAAUUCAACAUUUAAAAUAAUAAUUAAAUAUUUAUAGCGUAAUGCUGAUGUCACUGAUUCAACCAGUAAUGAAUUCGCUCAUUGAACCAGCGACCCUUGACCCACUAAUAUUUGUCAUUUGCUAUGCGAUUCAAUUUUUAAAACAUUGCAUAACAUAUUUCUUUUGAGAGAUAGAUAGCAGCUAGGGGUGGAAACGAGCCGAGCUCGAGCGAGCUUAUGUCAGCUCAAAUUCGGCUUGAAAUUAAUUUCGAGCCUAAAUCUAGGCUCAAGCUCGGCUUGAAAUUAAUUCGAGCCGAGCUCGAGCGAGCCUAAUUUCGAGUCGAGCCGAGCUCGAGCUCUAACGAGCGAUUGAAAUUCUCGAAUUAUAUAAUCAAUAGUUUGAAUUUUUAUAGAAUUACCUACAUUUGAUGCAACAUGUCAAUAGUUCAAAAUACAAAAUAAUUGAAGAAAUUAUCAGUCAGGGUGAUCUGCCCUGACGGGUGAGGCGUUCAAAGAGAGAGAGAGAGGAGAGAGAAGAUCGAGAAGGGUCCGCGUGAGAGGAGAGAGAGAGAGAGGGGGGGGGAUUAGGAAAUUUGAGAAGUUGAAUGUUAUAUGUUUUAGGGUUAUGUUGGCAAAGUGAAAAUCUGAAGACGGAGUGUGUUAUGUUAAUUUUAGGUUGGGGCUCAUUUGCACGGUCCUGUACUUUGUUAGGUAUUAUUUUAGGGCCAACAAUAAUAGCCAAAUUAAAUUAAAGCUUAACAUAUAAUUAAAAUACAUUAUAGUAUAUAGUAAUAUAAUUAUAUAUAUUAUAUAUAUAUAUAUAUAUAUAUAUAAUAUAUAUAAUAUAUAUAUCUCUUAUAGUAUUCUAUAGUACCGAGCUCCGGCUACUAUAGUGUUGGUUUUCGAAUUUGGGCGUUCAAUAUCACGCAUCCACGACCGUUAAAUAUGAUCGUAGGGUAUACUGAAUUUCUUAAGAAUAAAUUUAGUUUUUUUCUGAUAUCGUUUACUAGUAAAUAAUUAUAAUCUAAAAUGACGGAAUGGAAAUUUGAAUAAUCUUUAAAUUGAGCAUAGGACUUUUAAAUUCAAGAUCAAGAAUGUUACCUUAUUUAACAUAGUUAAAGAUAUUUUCUAUUCAAAAAUUUGAAAAAAUUUAGUUUUCUACACUGCUGGUUUAAAUCCAACUCGUAUAUAGCCAUUGAAAUGAUAUUUGAAAUAGUUUGAUUGCAUGAAAAUAUAACUAAUGUCGAAAAAAUUAUAAAUUUUAUUCGAGAAACUUCCUUAAAUAACCAAAGAUCAGUUUUAACGUUGUUGGCAUCGUUGAUUGUGAGAACGCUUAAGAUCGAAAACCAACACAUAUAGUACCGGAGCUGGAUCUAUAGAUAGUAAUAGUCAUAGUCAGCUCUCUCUUCUCCUCUUCUCUCUCUCUCUCUCUCUCUCUAAUUAUAUAUAUUAAUAUAUAUAUAUAUUCGAGCUUUUCGAGCCUAAUUCGAACGAGCCGAGUAAUACUCAAGCUCGGCUUGAAAUGAAUUUCAAGCCUUUUAUUUUGUUCAAGCUCAGCUCAUUUAAUUUCGAGUCGAGCUCGAGCGAGCCGAAUAUCGAGCCGAACACGAGUCGAACGCGAGCCGGCUCGCUCGUUUGCCAGCCCUAAUAGCAGCUACCUGCUUCAUUUAUUUCGUUUAGAAAUAAACUUAGCUGGAAAUGUGAAUCAAUUAGGAUUCGAACUUGAGACUUCGGGUACCAACCACCAAGCCUUUUGCCACUUGUGUUAGGGACAGUCGAUAUAACAUAUGAUAUAUUAGUAUAAAUAUAUAAUGAGUGAAUGAGAAAAUUGUACCUCCAAAUUUAGUAGUGAGUUUGUUUUGCAACGGAAAACUAUACCAAACAGCUCUUUAAUGCAUGCCUUGAGACUAAAGUUAAAGAAUAUAGCAGUAUAUUCCCACAAGUUAAAGAAUGGAGUGAAAAUUUAGUAGAUUAGAAACCACAAUAAAAACAUUUCUCUCUUAUUUUUCUUCAGUAAAUCUUGGCAAAUUUCGCUUUGAAUCAUCCCCACUUUAUUGCUAUUUAUUAUACAAUCCAACAUAUUAAUGUAAGAUGAGCUCCAAGAAGAUAAUAAACUCAGUGCUUCAGCCAACAUAUGUACCUAGCUCAUUUACCAAAUUAAUGAUAAGGGUUAAAUUUAUUUUGUAUUCAUUGAGGCAUUUAUCUUUAAUUAUCUCACACCAACUAAAUUUUGGUACAAAUAUCAUAUCCUCAUAUCUGUGGCAAUAGUAGAGCUAAAUAUCCUAUCCUUUGCCUUCCUUCCCUGUAGAUAAUGUAGGAAAAAAUAAUAUGUUAUAUAUCUUAAUAAUCAAUCCAAAUAUUGAUGCAAAUAUAUAUUUCAUUAUGGUGUAAAUCAACUUCCAGGGUAGCUAACUUUGCCAUCAAAAGUUGUGCAAAUCUUGCAAUUUAGAUAAAACCAAAAAUUAAAACAAUUAAAAGUUGUGUUCCAAUUAACUAUGAGUCACGUACGUACGUGACGCUUUGAUUCCCAAAUUUUAAUUUGUUAAAAUUUUAAAUUCAAACUUUCUAAAUGGUUGCAAACAAGUGGAACCAUAGUUUAAUUUAGUAAACUAAAUAUUGAUGUGUUGUUACUUAUUAAUUAAUAUAGUUGUGAUUAUUGAUGACACCUCAAUAAUUAAAAUGACGUAUUAAUUUCACGUAAGUGAUACGUUAGUAUUUAGUUUUGUGUAACUGAAUUAUAAUAGGUUAAAAGUUUUGAGAUAUAAAUUAUAAUAAAUUAAGAUUUGAGUAUCAAAAUGUAACAAGUUUCAUAGUGUGAGGACCAAAAAUGUAAUUUAGUUAAAAAUGCAAACAUAUUUGUACCUAACAUUUAGCUUGAUUCUUUCUUCCAUAAAAGAAGAGGAUCUAUGAGAAUUGACCAUAACCAAGAGUAGUACUAAGGAAGUGCACCAAACAUCACAUCCAACCAUAGAAAAUUAUUAUUUUAAAAAUCAAAGAAACAAAAUUAAAAUAAAAAACAAAUAAUUAAGGCUCUUUUGUGUUUUGGUAAAAACGAAUGGAACUUAAUUGAACUAUGUAUUUUUAAUUUGACUAUUUAAUUUUUUAAAUUUUAAUUUAUUAUCUAAUUUUUCAAUCUGUUUGAUUUACGUCAGCACUUUGAUUCUAAAAUUUAAGCUAAUUACUUAAUUUAAUGAACUUAUAAUUAUUAGAAUUGUAUUAAAUGUAGUAACUAAAUAUGUGGAGAUAAAUGAGCAUUCGAAUUUUGAAGGCAAAGUGCCGUCGUUGACUGACUCAAAUCGAACAAAUUAAAAAAUUAGAUAGUAAAAUCAAAAUUUUGAAAGGCUGGACGAUCAAAUUCAAAUGUAAAUUCAAAAUUUUUGCAUUGUGUUUUUGGUGGAAUGUUUACCUCAUUUUCCCAGUCAGUGUAUAGGAUAAUAGUUAAAAACACCAACACUUGCAAGAAGGUGCCACAUAUGAUUCCCAUCCAAAGACCCUGCUCAUCACCAAGUGAGAUUUUAGUGAUCACACAAAUCAUUAGACAAAAUGGUCAAUUACAAUAGUUGUCUUAGAUCUUCAUGUGAGUUUUUGUUCUAAUUUUCAACAUUGUUGUUUUUAUAAUCCUAUUAAAUCUGUUAAUUUCGAUAAAAAUUGUCAUACCAGAAUCAAAUCAUAUUAAUUUGGUGCGUCACCGCCAAUAUAUUAGAACUUUCCAUGUGACAAAUUUUAUCUGAUUGAUUGAAAAGAUUAGUAAAUAUUAAAAUCUUAGUUAAAACAAUUUAAGAAAUUAAAGCAGAACAAAUUAAGAAAUUAACUAAAGAUAAAAAGUAAAAAUUAAAAGGGGAAUAAGGAAAACUACCUUUCCACCAAAAUGAAGAGCAAAUGCUAAUACAACAGCUGUAGGAAUACCCACAAUGUAAUAAGUUCCAAGAUUAACAAAAGCACCAAUCUUUUGCCAACCACAUCCUCUAGCAACCCCUACAUUUCAUGAAUAGUUAACACCAACUAUGGUUAUCAAAUAAAUUGAACAAAACAAAAUAAUCUUACAUACGCAUGCAGUAACACAACUUUACACUACUACACUCAACCAAACGGAGUAAUACGGUACUAGUAAUAAUCUGAAUUACGGAUGUUAUAUUACUAAUUAUGUUCAAAAAAUCAGUAAUGUCAAAUAAUACGAACCAAACGGGCCCUAGGAGUAAAAUAGCAUGGAUGUUAUAUUACUAAUUAUGUUCAAAUAACCAGUAAUGUCAAAUAAUGCGAACCAAACGGGUCCUAGGAGUAAAAUAGCAUGACACCUAUUUGGAUUUUGGCAUGUUUGAUUCCAUUCGUCUAACAAACUUUUAAAAGUUUUAUUUUUAGUUUAUGACAUUUCCAUUUGUUUGAUUUGAGCCAUUUGGUGGUUUUUCAAUUACAAUAUCAUUACAUACCUCUUUCUUGAAUUAAUGAGAGGUAACUUAAUUAUCAAGCCGUUUUAAAUAAAUGACUCACAUCCAAAUUUUGAAGUGAAAGAGCCAACAAAUUGCUCUAAUCAAAUAAAAUAAAUGUAAUGUAUAUACCAAUUAAAAUGAAGAAUUGUAUAAGUUAGAUAGUUAAUUUGAUCAAAUAAGUCAUCGUUCAGAUAAGUUUCAUGUAUUUAUGUUGCCAUCUAAUUUUCAUGAUUUCAAGUAUAUAUUCAACUGCACAUAAUAGUAGAGUAAAAGGAAAUGAAAAUAAUAAGUUAGGAAAUUUUUUUACCUGAUAACACAGCUUGAAUUGCAUCCAAAACAAUGGAUAUUGCAAGAAUUGGCAACAUAAUUGCCAUGUAAUUCACAACUUCUUCUUCAUUGCUAUAUGCAUAACCCCAAAUUUUGCGCAACAAAAUCAGGAUCAGUCCCACUAUUAAGCCUUCUAUAAGGGCUAAGAAUAAACCUACAUAUACAGUGAUCUGUGCCGCAUCAUGCCGCCCAGCACCGAGUUCAUUUGAAACACGCGUACUAAAAAGAAGAGAAAAUAAAUAAAUUAAAAUUGAUUUUAAAGAAACAAGGAUCGAUAGAGCGAGAAAAAUCAGAAAUUUAGAGCAUUGCGUACGUAGCUACCUUACUGCGGCACCAAGACCAAAAGGGAGCAUAAAUACCAUGGAAGAAGAGUUAAGGCUGAGGAAACAAAAUGCAUUUGGCUUUAGACAAGAUAAUGAGAAACUAAAAUUGGCAGUUUUUGUCUCUUUUAAACUAAAUAAAGGUAAAAACAAGAACAAUUCCAAAAAUUCAAGCAACAUUUGCUUAUAUAUAUAUACACACACACCCCAUCCCUAUCCUUAAUGUCUUUCACUAAGAUUGAAGCCCUGAUUCUAGAAAUAAGAGGAAAACAAAAGAGGUUCAAGAUCCGUACAAGAGCAUUUGUGCUUGUAAUUUUUUAGACGUCAAAUCGCAUCAAGAUCCAUACAGCACUAUUACCGAUGUGUCCCAUUAAAUCUCCUAUUAGUAUUGUACGGAUUUUAAGACGAUCCGAUGGCUAAAAACUUAUAAGCAUAUAUUUUGAGCUUCUGAACUUUUAAAAGAAUAAGAGCUCAACUCUCUCUCUCUCUUUCUAUAUAUAUAUAUAUAUAUAUAUAUAUAUAUAUAUAUAUAAUANAAGAACCGCUAUAAUUCCAAUUGUACAUUUCUUAGUCCAAAGAUCGAAAACUUAUUUGUACUUUCAAAGGUAUAAGAGCUCAACUCUCUCUCUCUCUUUCUAUAUAUAUAUAUAUAUAUAUAUAUAUAUAUAUAUAUAUAAUAGUUGUUCUAACCUUAUUGAUAACACAGAUGUCUCCAGCUGUGGAUUUGGAAGAAGACCAGAAAGAAGCACAAGAACUUCGAAUGCCGACCAUUCCAUGCUGUAUCAAGAAACACUUCAUCAUGAAAAUACUAAUCCACCAUUAUUUAAUUAUUGUGCUUAAUUUUAGGCUAAACUGCGGCAAUUAUCCUCGAAUAAUAAGUCGAUUAAUCUUGGUAACGUCUCGAACUAAUUUUAAACUUGCUAUGUUCUGAUUCAAACUCUUUUUUUGAGACUUUUUUAAUGAAUGACGUAGCGUUGAUACGACAAUAAUGUGAGUUUCAAAUUGCUAUCACAUAAUAAUGUGAGUUUCAAAUUGCUAUCACAUCAUUUAUUGCUAUUAUUAUAUAGCUCAUUGUUCAAUUGCUAAAAGAGAUGGAAACAAAAAGGAAAUAUAUUAUUAUUGUUUGCAUUAGAUCGGUAUAAAAAAAUAUAUUUUAGACGACGCUUUUUAGAUGACUCUCUAUUCUACCAUAUUUAAUAUUUGAUAUGUGCCGACAUCAUGAUUAAGCACCACCAAUUAUCAAGAGUCUGCCUACUAUACUCUUAUGAGUAUAGUUAUACUCUUAUGAGUAUAGUUCUUUUUGUACUCAUAAGAUUUUUGCCGCUAGAUCUACUUUUUUGAUCAUUUCUACCCGUUAGAUCAUACUAUUCAACCAAUCACCCACUCAACCCUAGGAAACCACUAUUAACUUAACCGGAAACCACUAUCAUUCUAACUGCACAUCUCUUCAUCUAAUGGUCAAAAACUUAUGAGUACAAAGUGGGCUAUACUCAUAAGAGUAUAGUAGCCCUAGCCUUUUUAUCAAAUACUGAUAAAAAUUUUCCGACGCUAUAUUAAAGUAUCGAUAUAUUUAUCCCGACAUGUUGUUUAACAAUUCUUUACUCGACGCUUUUACAAGCGUCGAAAUUGUUCUUGCCGACGCUUUUAAAAUAUCGCUAGUUAUUAUUUAAAGUGUCCUAAAAUAUAAAAUUUAUUAUAGUGUGUACGCUACAAGAUCAUCCAUUUAUACAUCAAAAAAUCACAAUUGAAUGCAUAUAAUUGUGCCCAGCGCAAAUAAUAAUUCGCCCAUGUUUCUAUAUUUUCCCUCUUAAAUACAAACACGACACUAAUGUAAUACUGAUAUUAUUGCAUUAUUAUCAUAGUGUUUUAUACAAUAAUUGAAAUAUCGUGUCAAUGUCAAUGUCGCGUGUGCGCAUGUGUAUAUAUAUAUCAGUUGUCACAUCAAUAUCUCGUCGUGGAGAAACCUGAUUUUCAUAUAAAACUAUAACGAAAUAAGCUGCGAGGAUCAAAGUGUCACUCGGUGCCUCCAAUUUUAGGAAUUGAGAGUGCGACGUUAACAUAAAUUCGAGAUCACGUAUAAAUAUAUAGAUAUAUAUAUAUAUAUAUAUAUAUAUAUAUAUAUAUAUGCAUAAAAUUUUCUUACCAAACCAUCGUAGCCGAGGGAACGGCGAGUUUGAUGAAGCCGAGAACAUCUCUCAGAGCCUCUCUGGAGAAGCCAUUCCAAGUUCUCUCGCAAUUUUUGGAAACUCUAACAUAACAGGCCAAAAUUAACACAUAAACCCAAUAAGAUAUGCUAUUUCCAAAAGCGGCCCCUGCGAUUCCGAGCUCCAAACCAUGCACCAAAAUAUAACACGCUCCGACGUGGACCAGGACCGUGAGCCCGGCGCACAGCAUGAUGGGAAACACGGCGUUUUGCGCUUGCAUGAAUCUGACGUGGCACUGGAGGAGUCCGUAUGCGAACAGGGAGGGGAUCAUGCAGCGUGCGUAUCUCCCCGCCUCGGUUGCUAUUUCCGGGCGCUGUCCGCAUAGAACGAGGAUCUGCGACGUGUGGGCCCAUAGAAACGCGAGCGGUACGCAUGCGAGCGUGAUCACGAGCAUCGCUCGUUGCUUGUGGAUUCCGAGCAUGUAGUACUGCUUCGCUCCGUACGACUGCCCGCAUAAUGUGUCCAGUGCGCUUCCCAUUCCCAUCUGCUCAAAGCGCCCAGCAAUAUAAAAAAUUUUUCGUAUUAACUAUCCAUUUCUUUAGACUUAAUUUAGAAUACUUUAAAUAGUUAAUAUUUUUUUUAUAAUUUUUUUGAUUUUAUUUAUAUAAUAUAAUUCUUUUUAUAUAGUAAUAUUAUUGGUAAAAUUAAUGACGUACUAGGGUCAAAUUGUGAGUCCAUACACCCUGUUAGAUCCGAUCAAAUUAAUCCUCGACAGCCAUCUACAUCGGCGAGCGCAUUUCACACUGGCUCGGUGAGUUGUUGGAGGACACGUUGCUGAGGAGGAGGACAGUAGGCCCGCCAUUCCACACAGCAAAGGAGAAAAGGUUGGGAUCGAUCAUACAAACAAACCCCGCCAUGCCAAGGCGGAGAUAGCGAUAUGCCCAAUCCGCAACCGUCUUGGCAAACACAGGAGUAACGGAGGCUGGCCAUGGCUGAAAAGAUGCCCCUAACUGGGUAGGUUCGCAUUGAUAUAUUAAUAUUAUUUCUUAUUAUCAAUAGUAUUCUAGCUUUAUUCUAUGUAUAAAGUUCACCUGAAAUGCUAUUAUUAAUUGGUAAAUAAAUAGUAUCUACUAUCAACUUUAAAUUUCUAUUAAUACAAUUCACUUAUUCCAGCUAAAUGCGACACAUCUGGAAGCUAAAAAAUUGAUAGCAACUACUAUUCCUUUANUGAUACGUUUUAAACCACAGGGUAGCAAAGUGAGAAUGCACGAAACCACAGGGGGGGUUUUUGAAGUUUUCCAAAAAAAAUUAUUAUUUUAUAUUUUUCAAAAUAUUAAUAAUAUUAUAAUUUUAUAAAAAAUAUUAGUUGGCGGGGCGGAUUCGGGGCGCCGGCGGGAGGCGGGUUACGAGGCGGGGCGGAUUAUGGGAUGUAUUUUUUAACCCGUCACGGAUUCGGGGCGGAAGGCGGGGCGGAUUUUUGCUAGUCGGGGCGGGUCUCCCGCCCCCAAAUCCGCCCCGUUUGCAUCCCUAGUCACAUCAAUAUCUCGUCAUGGAGAAACCUGAUUUUCAUAUAAAACUAUAACGAAAUAAGCUGCGAGGAUCAAAGUGUCACUCCGUGCCUCCAAUUUUAGGAGUUGAGACUUGAGAGUGCGACGUUAACAUAAAUUCAAGAUCACGUAUAAAUAUAUAGAUAUAUAUAUGCAUAAAAUUUUCUUACCAAACCAUCGUAGCCGAGGGAACGGCGAGUUUGAUGAAGCCGAGAACAUCUCUCAGAGCUUCUCUGGAGAAGCCAUUCCAAGUUCUCUCGCAAUUUUUGGAAACUCUAACAUAACAGGCCAAAAUUAGCACAUAAACCCAAUAAGAUAUGCUAUUUGCAAAAGCAGCCCCUUCGAUUCCGAGCUCCAAACCAUGCACCAAAACACAACACGCUCCGACGUGGACCAGGACCGUGAGCCCGGCGCACAGCAUGAUAGGAAACACGGCGUUUUGCGCUUGCAUGAAUCUGACGUGGCACUGGAGGAGUCCGUAUGCGAACAGGGAGGGGAUCAUGCAGCGUGCGUAUCUCCCCGCCUCGGUUGCUAUUUCCGGGCGCUGUCCGCAUAGAACGAGGAUCUGCGACGUGUGGGCCCAUAGAAACGCGAGCGGUACGCAUGCGAGCGUGAUCACGAGCAUCGCUCGUUGCUUGUGGAUUCCGAGCAUGUAGUACUGCUUCGCUCCGUACGACUGCCCGCAUAAUGUGUCCAGUGCGCUUCCCAUUCCCAUCUGCUCAAAGCGCCCAGCAAUAUAAAAAUUUUUUCGUAUUAACUAUCCAUUUCUUUAGACUUUUAAUUUAGAAUACUUUAAAUAGUUAAUAUUUUUUUUAUAAUUUUUUUGAUAUUAUUUAUAUAAUAAAAUUCUUUUUAUAUAGUAAUAUUAUUGGUAAGUAAAUUAAUUACGCACUAGGGUCAAAUUGUGAGUCCAUACACCCUGUUAGAUCCGAUCAAAUUAAUCCUCGAUAGCCAUCUACAUCGGCGGGCGCAUUUCACGCUGGCUCGGUGAGUUGUUGGAGGAGGACAGUAGGCCGCCAUUCCACACAGCAAAGGAGUAAAGGUUGGGAUCGAUCAUACAAACAAACCCCGCCGUGCCAAGGCGGAGAUAGCGAUAUGCCCAAUCCGCAACCGUCUUGGCAAACACAGGAGUAACGGAGGCUGGCCAUGGCUGAAAAGAUGCCCCUAACGGGGUAGGUUCGCAUUGAUAUAUUAAUAUUUUUUCUUAUUAUCAAUAGUAUUCUAGCUUUAUUCUAUGUAUAAAGUUCACCUGAAAUGCUAUUAUUAAUUGGUAAAUAAAUAGUAUCUACUAUCAACUUUAAAUUUCUAUUAAUACAAUUCACUUAUUCCAGCUAAAUGCAACACAUCUAGAAGCUAAAAAAUUGAUAGCAACUACUAUUCCUUUACUAGAGUUAGGCUAUUAUAUUUUGAAAGUAAGGAAAACUUUGUACUUUUUAGUUGUUUUUUGUAAUGAGACAUCUGAUUAUGUGAUCAGUUUCAUUAGACAUGAUUUAUAAUGUUAGAACUCUUUAGAAAUCAAAUUUUAUAAUUUUUUCACUUUGUUUUCCUAGUAAACAAGUAGCCUCAAAAUGAACGGAUAAAAUAAAAAUUAUAUAAAAAAAUAGUGAUAAAAAACUUAAAUUUUAAAUUAUAAGUAUUGAUAUUUCUCUUUAUGGUAAGUAAACUUUUAUUAAAAUUUUACCAAAUUUGCAUUUUUUUUUUAUACCAUUGAACUUACAAACAAACGUGGCACAUCAGUUAUUAUAAUACUCAUUUUUUAGACAUUUUGAUCACUUGGUAAAUUAUAUUGACAAAUUAUGAAAUUUGAUUUCUAAAUAGUUUUAAUAUUGUAGAUGAUUUGUUUUCGAUGAUAGAGCUUCCAAAUUGAUGAUCGGCACUGUUAAAUAAGAUCUAAACUAUUUAAACUAUCUGGAAAUCAAAUUUCACACAUUUUCGAUAUUGUUCUCUGUCCAUCAAGUGAACAGAAAAAUGAAUGGUUAGAAAUGAAUAUCCUUCAAAAAGUGAUGAUACAAUUUUUAUAUUUGAGAUCUAGAGUCUAGAUCUUAUUUAAAAUAGUUUAAAGAAUUUUUUAACAAAAAUUUAGUUGAUUUGAACUCUUCUAUACUGUUAAACGAGCAAACACACCAUAUCAGCCAUUAAAAUUAUAGAUUUUGUGACCCUUUGAUCGUUCAAUUAGUGAUGUCAAAAAAUCAUGAAAUUUGAUUUCUAGAUAAUUUAAAUGGUCUAGAUCAUGUUCAACGGUGCCGAUCGUCGAUUUGGAAGCUCUAUCAUCAAAAAUAAAUUGGUAGUAAACUGAGCAAUUUACUACCGAUAGUAGCCCAGUCAAACUCUAAUAAUUAGAUAAUUUAUCGAUAUAUAUAUGUUACUUGUCCUUAUACAUGUGCAACUUUAUUAUUUCUGCAAUGUGAACUAUUAUGUUGUUUAUCUGGUGAGGGCACCAAACCCAAAGGUGUCUCAUUAUGUCCCCAUUAAUACUGUAUGCAUGUGGCUUUAAAAACGAAGCUCUCUCUAUCUAGAUUCCUCUCAUCAAUUAAAACCAAGCUUUUACUCUAUAGGGUAAACUUCAAAUACCACCCAUGUAGUUUUAUACUUUUUUACUUUAAUAUUCUGUGGUUUAAAGUGUAUCAAGUUAGUACUCUGUGAUUUUAUUUUUUUCUUUUCGUCAGCUCCUCCGUUAAUAUUUUGUUAAAUUAUAUACAAAAAACUUCAGAUACUCCACCUAAGUUUAUCGAAUAUUCAUUUUAGUACCCUUUAGUUUUAAUUUUGUCACUGAUUUAACGAAAAAAAAAUUUAGGGGAAUGGAUAAUAAAAAGAGAAAAAUAAAAUCACAUGGUACUAAAUUAAUACACUUUAAACUACAAAGUAUUAAAGUGAAAAAGUGUGAAACCACAUGACAUAAAUGAUAUUUGAAGUUUUUCCUACUAUCUAUAAAUGAUUAAUCUAAAAAAAAAAGGCCUAAAUUGCAUUGCAUGUUGAUCUACUCUUGCGAAAAACCAAAUCACCAGUGGCUUAGUAGUAAGGUGUUAUAUAUAUGCAUACUUCAGGUUGUGGAUUUAGUUAAUUUGUAUAUGCUUCAAUUUAUAAGUUGUUAUUUUGACUUUGCGUUCAAUAUAAAUAAGUUUCGAGCAAGUUGGAAAUUAGCACUACAAAAAAAAACGGUGUAUAGUGACACUUUUAAAUAUCGAUAUAGGUAAAAAAAAGGUAUUACUGACUAAAUUAUCAACAUUUUUUAAAACUGUUGCUAUAUAUAUGUGGAGGGUCGUUAUAUGUAGGGCACCUUGAUGUUUAACACCCACUCCUCCAGCAACUUGUGGCGGAGGGACACGUGGUGAAAGUAGUCCUCUACGGUUCUUGCGAGAUCCUCGCAGCCGACUUCCAGUCGCCAGAACAGAUCCUCGCGGUUCUUGAGGUUGGUUGAAUAAAGGAAUUUUUUAUUUUUAAUUGGAUUUGGAUUUAUAUUUAGGUCUUAGUAAAUUUUUUAAAAAAGUUUUGACAUAAAUAUGACAUUUACACAAAAGUGCUCCAAAAAUGUGUUUCUAUAAUCUAAUUCUGUUGUAGUAAUGAUUCUGAAGAAAGAGAAACAAUAAAGAAAAAAAAAACUCAUGGAAAAAAAGCAGUAGACAUGCAGUUAAUUAAUUUAAAUUAUAUUAAACUUUAAUUUAUUGUAAUUGAUUUAUGAACUUUAAUUUUUAUUUCUAAUAGAUCCUUUCAUCGAUCAACUUGGAACAUAUUAAAGAACGCAAUUAAAUUGAUCAACUUCUAGUUCAGCGCCAUUGAAAUUUUUGGAGAUAUGAAACGACAACAAAAUUUGAAUGAAGCAUUACAAAGCGAUCGAUCUGAUUACGACAAAAAUUGAAGUCCAGUAAUGCUACAUGACGCGAAUCGAAACAUGCAUACCAAUAAGCUGAAACCGGUGACUGCGGUGAAAGAAGCGGCGGAGGCAGCGGCGGAGAGGGGGAGCUCACCAAGAUGACCAACAAACAUUAGAGAUAUCAUCUGGAUCAUGUUCUGCAUCAGGCUCCCCACAAUGAGAGGCCCUGCUAAGUACACCUGCUUCUUAACCUCACUUGUUAGCAAAACCUUGAAACCUUCUCUCUUAUUAUUAUCAUUAUUAUUACUAUUAGAGGUUGUGACUAGAGGUGCUUCUAAGCUACUUAUUGCCUUCUCCAUCUCUCUCUCUCUCGCUCUCUCUCUCUCUCUCUCUCUCGAGUUUAGAAUGUGGGACUGUGGAGCAAGAGAGAGAUACAAAGAGAGAGGAAGGUAGGUUCCAGGGAUAUGUAUGUGAAUAGUAAGACUAAAUAAUUAUUUCAAAAAUACGUACUGAUUAGACUUGGCAGUAUCAAUCCAUAGCCACCGAUAUCUAUAGAUUGUUCAUAAAUUUACGGAUAUAAAUGCUAGUUUUUUUAUCUAAAAAUUAUAAGUAAAUUAAAAUGGGCGAGUGCUCGUUAAAUUAUGGACAUUUUUGGUAACCUGCAGUUGCCCAUUGAUACCCGCAUAUAUAAUUUCAAAAAAAUAAAAAAAAUAAAAAAGUGAGUACUUUUUUGUUUUAUCAGUUUCUAGCACUAAAUUCUCCUAUUGUUAUUUUUUUUCUUUAUUAUUUAUUGUAUGUUGUGAUUUUGAAAUAAUAAAAUAAGUUUUUUUUAAAAAAAUAACAUAUAUGUUAUUUGUGUUUGAAAAGUAAAAGAGCAAAAAUGGAGGAAAAAAAAAAGUAUCUUGUGGCCCACCCGCAGGUGGGUAUGGGUAAGGGUGAUGACUAUCUAAAAAUUUGCAUAUAUGCCCGUAAAAUCCACGCUUAUAAUGACCGCUCCUGUGUUAUCUAACUCACCGGUUUGUCAGCCGGCUUUUUCUCUACCUAUUUUUCCGAGAUUGAUAAUCUCUCCUUUUCUUCAAAGUCUAAUGCUGAUAGAAAGAGUACAUUCAUCGAAUUUAAGGACACAGCCACAAUGCUCAUGGGCUUCAACUUGACUAAACCUAUCUGAAUGUUAGGUCUAUAAUUGGAUCUCUUCCCGUUAAAUCUAUUGUGGACCACAGGCCUCUCAACUUAUUAGUCUCUUGAGUUUAUUAUCACGAGAUAGGAAGUUGGAUCUAUUUUAGCCAAUAAUAAAUAGUCAACAAUGUUUAGAAGUUAUUGUAAAUAGAAUUGAUCUAAACUUUGAAUCAUUUUAAAUUGACUACCAAACCUUUCAAACUUUUAAUUUUAUUAUCCAACCUAUCAAUUUAUUUGAUUUGAGUCACUCAGUAGUUCUUUGACUUUAAAAGUUUGUAUAGUAAAUAUUGUCAAAUGUAACACAAUCUUUAGCACAGCUUAAUUGAGUAACACUUUUCAAAAAUUCUAACGCUAACUUAGCCAUCUAAACAACCUCGCCUCACCACAGCAAAAAAAAAGUGUAGAAUGCACGAUUUUUAUUGCUAAUAUGGUGUCUCCAACCAAUCAGAUAGCGCCCUUUUGGUUCACCCAUUCUAUCACGGUCUUUUCAGAAAAAUUAUUUUUGUUGUAUUUUUCUCUUAAAGAAAGAGAUGUGAUUGGCUUAAUUUAGAUGAUGUGGUGUGACUGCUACGUAGUAGACUUUCUCGAGACGGAGAGCCCAUCACUCCACUGUGCUUCUUGAACCUUUUAUUUGGACCAGUGAAAAGGAAAGAGCUAAUUAUUAGGGGUUUUCUAUAUUAUACACACAAUCUUAAAAAUUAAAGCUUUAUUAGCCUUUAAGAUUUAUUCCUUUACUAAAAGAAAGGAUAAUUUUGAUAGGAUUUUUUUUAGAAUUGUGACUAAUUCUCGGUACCAUAUAUUUUUUAGAUGGGUAAAUAAUUUUAAGACUAAUUUUAAGACUAUCUUUUAAUCUCUGUUUCCUGGGAAAUCGAUCUUCUGCUAUCAGAGAGUACAAAUUAAUGACUUUACAUAACAUCAUGGUGUGUCCUACACGUCCUAAUUAACAAAACAACUAGUUUAUCAUUGGUGGGUCGAUUAAUCCUCCUUCCCGUCCCACGUUGCUGGCCCGUACACGUUCGUAACGUAGAAAUUUUUCCCCGACUCGACGUGUGACAGAAGGACGGUAAUCGAAUAUUUUCUCACUAGGACGUCACGGCAAAUGUACAAGCGAGAGUUCCAACACGUGACGACGCCCCCGGUGGCACCAUCCGAUUCGAGAUAGACGUAUUUGUUAAGAAAGGAGCCACUUAUACUACGCAGAAAGGUGCGAGAAACAUGUUUCACUUUAGACUCUUGUAAUUAAGCACACUACCACAUUACAAAGCUUAGAAAGGACCUAGCGUUACGCUAGUUCCAACACGUGAUUAAUGCUAGUUUUUUUUUUUUUUUUUUCUUCGCCUGGUCCCUACUUCUGCGAUUUUUUCCGAGGCCAUGGUUGCCUCACUCCUGCGGCCUAAUUUAUCCAUUCAAUGAAUGAAGUAGAUAGCGUGCUACCUAUUCUCAAAAAAAAAAAAAAAAAAAAAAAAAACUAGUUCAACCAAGUAUCCACUCACAUCUACUUUCAAGAGCGAGCAUAGCAUUUCCUUUUCUUUCAAUUCAACUUGCAAAACACUUGAAUAGCGACAAAAAGGCUCAGCUAACCUUUCACAGCAUGUUUGGUUCAUCAUUGGAAUAGAAAUGUACGAUGGAAUUGGAUUACACUGGAAUAAAAAAAAAUAAAAUGAUGAAUCAUCCAAUAUUUCUGCAUGACAGAAGACUGCCACCAAAAUUUUAUUGAUUGAUAAGCAGAAGCAGAAAAGCAGAAAGCACUGCUCUUCCAGCAAUAUUUCUGCAUGAAAUCUCGACGCAGUUCGUAGUAGAUCCUCCUUGUUUCUGUUUCUGGGGUGGCCAACAUGGGUGUGAGAUGAGCUCCAAGAUGACCAAAUAACUGGGGCACCAUGAAACACAACUUAGAUUCGCAGGUCGCAGAUAUAUUUCGUGCUCAUGAUUGUUUACUCGUUAUCUGAUUUCGACUAGUUUCUGGCUCUAAAUCAUGUCGUCAUGUCGGUUGGGAUAGUGGUGCUAAAUACCCUAUCCUUCGCCUUCUUCGCCUGUCAAAUCACCAAACAAUAUCAGAUGUACAGGAAAAAAAAAUUAAAAAUAAUAGUAGCAUAAAUAGCUAAUACUAAAGCCUUUUAAUAACCUCAGCAAUGCUAAAUAUACAAACUUAGUUGAUAGAAAUAGUGAUUAUUGUCUUUGUGGGAAAAUAAAAUUAUCUUUGGCUCGCAAAAUAAGAUUAAUGCAAUGUUAAAAGAUAAUUUUGUUUCCAAUACCUCUUUAUCCCAGUUUGUGCAAAGGGUGAUGAUUAAAAGCAAAAACACUUGUAGAACAACGCCGCAUAUGAUUCCCAUCCAAAGCCCCUGUUCGUAGCCAUAUAUGUUUGAGACCGCAAAAGUUUAGUCGAAUGCAAUAUAUUGGCCGAAAUUUACGGAAAAGAUAGAAGAAAAUGAAAAUGAGGAACAAAUUUACCUUCCCUCCAACAUGAAAAACAAAUGCUAUUAGAAUGGCCGAAGGAAUUCCUACAAUGUAGUAAGCCCCAAGAUUCACAAAAGCGCCGAUCUUCUGCCAACCGCAUCCUCGCGCAACCCCUACAUGUUCAUGAAUCACCACCAAUUACAUGUAACCAUAGGGCCUAUAUGUGAGAAACCAAGUUUUCGAAGAAUGUGUAUGAUGUACGCGAUAAACAUAUAUAGUUAACUCUACAUGUAUUUUCCAUGAUUGUUUACCUGAAAGAACACUUUGAAUGCCGUCGAAGAAGUUGGAUGUUGCGAGAAUCGGUAGCAUGACGCCGACAUAUUUCACAACCUCCUCUUCAUUGCUAUAGGCAUAUCCCCAGAUGCCGCGCACCAGAAUCAUGAUUAGUCCCACUACUAAUCCUUCUAUGAUGGCCAAGAAUACCACUAUGCGUACUGCGAGGCGAGCGGCAUCAGGCCGCCCAGCACCGAGUUCAUUUGAGACGCGUGUGCUACGAAAAAAGAGAUAAAAAAUUAUCUUUUUCGUUUAGUUUUAAAGAGGUGGAAAUGAUCCAAAUGAAAGAGGAGAUAAGAAUGUUGAGAAGUAGUUGUUUGCACUUUGCGCGACUAACCUUAUUGCAGCUCCAAGACCGAAAGGAACCAUGAAUACCAUCGAAGCAGUGUUAAGGCUGAAGAAAACGAGAUGCUCUUAGUACAAGAAUAUCAGAAACUAAACUUAAUGAUCAUUCCACUUAUUAAAGCAAAUAUAAACAAUGUCAAAAGGUUGAAAGUUGUGCUAACCUUAUCGACAACACGGAUGUUUCUAGCUGCGGGUUUGGAAGAAGACCAGAAAGAAGCACGAGAAGCUCGAAUGACCACCAUUCCAAGCUGUCUCAAAAAGCACUUCUAGUUAGAAAUAGUGAUCUGAUCAUAAACAUAAUUAGAUGAUGAAUCACAAGUUUAAUUAUUUUCCUACCAAACCAUCAAAGCUGACGGAACGGCGAGUCUGAUGAAGCUCAAAGUAUCAUGAAAAGCCUCUUUCGAAAGGCCAGUCCAAGUCUUCUUGCAGUCAUUCGACAGUUGAACAUAAGCUUCCAGCAGUAACACAUUUAUCCAGUAUGAUAUAGCAUUUGCCAGAGCAGCACCUUUGCUGCCGAGGCCUAAUCCAUACACCAGCACCCAACAAACUCCGAUGUGAAGCAAUGCCGUGAGCCCCGAGCUUAUCAUAACCGGAAGAACGAUGUUCUGCGUCUGCAGGAAUCGGACGUGGCACUGCAGAAGGCCGUACGCGAAGAGCGCGGGGAUCAUCCAUCGAGCGUAUAUUCCAGCUUCGUAUGCGAUCUCCGGGUCUUGCCCGCACAGAACAAGGAAUUGCCCUGUGUAGGCCCAUAUUACAGCGAGCGGAACGCUUGCGAGCAUGAGCACUAGCAUCGCCCUCUGCAUGUGAAUGCCGAGCAUGUGAUACUGCUUCGCUCCGAAGGAUUGCCCGCAUAGAGUAUCCAAAGCACUUCCCAUCCCCAUCUAAUCAAAGGAGAAGGGACAGACUAACAUUUUCACCAUAUAACCUUCGUUUGAUAAAAAGGCAGUGCAGACUACUUUUCUAAAGAACAGAUGUUCUUUUUGCGGCGCGCAUAUCAAAAUAGAAUAACAAACCGCAAACAGCUAAUUGAAGCAUCAAAAUAGUGAAUUGUUCAUCUUCUCAAGUUUUAGUCAAGAUCCUAAUUCGCAAACUAGGCUAUACCAGUACUGUGCUAAAAGAAUCUCUACUCCGAUAACUACGACUCCAGAAUAGCCAGAGAAUUGGAAACAGCUUAAAGCUCAUGACAAAGAAUGAAAAGCUAUACUCAUAUUUCAUUUCACCCUUUUCGCCUUCAACUAUUUCACUCGCCACUUUUCUCUACCAAUAUACUCUCUACUCACACGAAAAACUGUUCUCCGAGUAAAUUUCUCAUCUUCUUUUCCUCCUUUCUAACUUAAUCAUUGAAGUAUACUUCUUGCAUCAAAACUGUAACAAAGAACUGCUGAGAACUGAUUUAUGCUUCCAAAUUGUUUGCUGUUUUCUAAGGAGCUAACUUAACUACUUAUCAGCAAAACAGGGCAAAAGGAAUCGGCUGAUAAGCUUUUCAAGGAUCACAAGAAAAUCAUUUUUCAUGAAAAUCUUUGUUUACAAAAUAAUAUAAAUCUGAAUUUUUGAUAUACAGGUACCCUAACUUUGUUUCUUUUUUCUUCUUUUUCUUUCUUUUUCUUUUUUCCAUUUCAUAGUCAAAAUUGUUGAAUCAGAAUUCAGAAAAGGACUGGUGACUAGUUUCUACAGGGAGGAAAUUUUGUUGUAGAAAUUGACAAUCAAGUAAGCAAUAUUGCAAAACAUUGCAAGAAGAAGAAAAAAAAAAAGAAAAAUAGAAAAGCAGUAUCUUGGAAAAAUCUCAAUUUGAACACUGGUUACAAAGGACAAAAGCAAACAAGAAAAACAAAAGAUAGAAGGUUAAUGAGAGAUUUCCAGCCCCAAAGACAACUCAAAGGCAACUCAACUUUCUCUGAAAAGGAUUGAAACUGCCCCACUUUUGGAGAAAUGUGUAUCCCACAUAAUAUUAGAAUUUUCAUUUUCUAAAGAUCAAUAAUGAGGGAUUUUGACAAGAUUUUGACUCAAUAAGAUUUCUCACAUGACUCUGGCCCCUCCGAGUUGCUAAACCGCUCUCCUUUACCUGCAUCGCUCUCUGGACUUAUUCUAUUCAUCUUAUUUUAUGCAAUCCAAUUAUGAAUGUCAAAUGCAUCAUAUGAAUAUAAUAAUAUGAGCAAGUAAUAAAGAAGGCAAAUGAAAGAAUUGUAAUGCAAACAUACCAACAAGCUAAAACCAGUGACCCCAGCAAAGGAGUUGGCCAUGGAAGCCCCAGAGAGGGGUAGCUCCCCAAGAUGGCCUACAAACAUUACAGAUAUGACCUGUAUAAUGUUUUGCAAAAGGUUCCCUGCUAUAAGAGGCCCUGCUAACCACACUUGCUUCUUAACCUCACUCACAACCUCCCAUUCUCCUCUCUUCUUAUCACAGCUUGUGAGUAGAGGAACCUCCAUACUUGGCUUCUCUCUCUCUCUCUCUCUCUCUCUCUCUCUCUCUCUAAGGAGGUGAUUGAGUUUGUUUGAGAAGGGGAAGGGGAAGGAGAAGGGGAAGGGGUGGAAGGGGGUUGUGUUAGGUAUUUAUAGGGUUAUGAAUGUGAGGGUAAAAGUGAAGGCACAUGGGAGAAACUAAAUAAAGAUUUGUUUUGUUGGCAUAUUCUUUUUGUUUGUUUUGAUUUUUUAUCUUUUUUUUUUUUAAUAUGAUUAACAUGUAUUUUUAUUUGAGUUGAGUUACGUUGCUUUUUAAAAACUUACAACUUUCACGGACUGUUCCUAGAACAAGUGGCAAAGGACUUGGUGGUUGGUAGUCGAGACCCAAGUUCGAAUCCUGGUUAAUUCACAUUUUCAGCCAAAUUUAUUUCUAAAUGAAAUAAACGAAACAGGUAGCGUCCUACCUAUCUCUCAAAAAAAUAAAAAAGAAAAUUACAACUUUCAAUUUUGAGCCUUUGGAUCUUAUUAUUAUUAUUACCGUCACCAACUAGUAAAUCUUAGAAAUAUACCGGCUUGAAAGUUAAAAAAAUAUAUAUAUUUCUGAAAACAUAGUAGUCCCACACUUUUUAUUUUUAUAUUUAGCAGGUACACUAUGCUCCACGUGUUUUCUAUGGAGGCAAAAGUGAUCCAAACCAUGUUGAAAAGCUGGGGUCCAACUGGUCGGUUCGACCGGUCCUAUCUCGACUCAGUAUAUAAAAUUAUUCUGUUCAAUCUUUUAAAUCGGAUAAGUUAAAAAAAAUCACUUUGAACUGUUCUAACUAGCGGUUCAACCAUCGAACCGAUGAAUCGGUCCGAUUUUAAUUUAACCAGCUAGAUUUUUUUUGAUUAAGUCAUAUUAAAUUCAACACUUAGCUAAUUUUAUUUUCCAUUAGCAUAAAUUAGUCUUAUAAAAAGUAAACCUUGAAAACUUAUAUCUACUAAGUUUGGUAUUGGAAUCAAUAUUUUAUAAUUAAGUACAAUACUAAAAUAAUAAUAUAUAUAUUUUUUUGGAGUCCGACUGUUAUGCUAUUAAUAGUACGAAGUACUUGGUGCUACCAAGUUUUGCACCGUUAGAUCUACCCUUUUGAUCAUUUUCACCCGUUAGAUCAUACUAUUCAACCAACCACCCACUUAACUCUUGGGGGCCCACAUCAUUCUAACCGUAUAUCUUUUAAUCUAAUGGCCAAAAACUUAGUAGUACCAAUGACUUGGUGCUAUUAAUAGUAUAGUAGCCUAGUUCAUUUUUUUAUAUAAUAAAUUUAAAAAUAAUAACUAAAUAUUUAUGAUGUGAUGUUGAUUCCACUAGUUCAGCCAGUGGUUGACCCACUAGUUGAUCCAAAGGCUUUUUACUCUGUAACAUUUUUAGGUCGUUGUUCGACCCAAUUUUUAAAACAUUGUGGUGCAGGACACAAAUGGCACCCAAAUUUUGCACAAUCCAAUGCCCAAACAUUUUGGAGCUAAUUAUAUGGGAAUACGUAAAAUUUCUGCAUACUGUAGUCCACUUGGUAUUAAGGUGUCUAACUAUUUGGCAAACAGAAUUUGCAUAUAUAAAGUUAUAUUUUCCUUUUUUUUUUUUCGUAGAAUUACAAAAUUUAUAUUUUAACCAAAAAAUUGCGGUAUACGUUUAUUACUUUCGAAAGCAUAUUAUUUUUAUAUAGGGAUAAUUACCUAUAUGCCCCUCAUAUGUUUGAAAAUAUCCGAUUUACCCUUUUUUUUCUAAAAUAUCACUCAUAUGUUCCACCGUUAUUGCAAAAUACUUCCGCAGUUAUCUCCUGUUAAGUUAAUCUGGGUUAAACAUGAGUUAAAUAUCUACCACAGUUAAAAAAAAUUAAAAUGCCAAUUUUAUCCUUAACAUAGGGGUAAAUAAAAAAGGUUGGUGAUGGUAGAGAAAUAUAUUGGAAAAGACUAAAAGUCAAAACACUUUUUGUGCCCCUGAUUUUAAGGACAAAUAAGAAAGACAGUGAUGGUGGAAUGGUAUAUUUGAAAGGGCAAAAUAGUAAUUUUACAGAGAUAACAGAGUUACUUAACAUAUUUUAACUCUAAGGGUAUAUUAGAAAUAGGUUGGAACGUAGGAGAGUUAUUUUCAAUAUUAGCCUUCUAAGAGGAGUAAAUCAGAAAGUUAGGAACUUUUCAGAAAUAUAUAAGUAAUUACCCCCUUUAUAUAAUAUUUUAUUAUCGUAGGUAAUGCAAUCUGCUUGCAAUUUGGAACGAAACCUAAAAUUCUAUCUAGAAUUGUAGGAUGUAUGUGUUUUGUACGCUACAGAAUGUCAUCAAAUCAUAUUGGUCGCAAUGAUUGAUUAAGAUAAAAUUUUUAAUUACGAUCCUGUAGAAAAAUAUAAAAAUAUAUUUUAAUAGUGUUAGGUACCAAAUAAGAAGUAAGUGGUCACACAUUAAUUUUUUAGAAAAGACAAAGGUCCUUAAAAAGCUAUUUUCGAGCUAGCCCUAAGAAGUGUCACUUGUAUUUUAUUCAAAAUUUUCAAAUAUUACGUUAUCAAAAAAAAAAAAAAAAAUCAAGUUUGGAGAUUCAAUUUUUGAGGUCUAAGAUUAAACAUUUACUAUUGAAAUUGCAAACCUUUCAUAUAAUCAUUAUUUUAUAUUAUUGCUUCACAUCGUAAAGAAACUACUCUGUCAUGUUACUAGAAACCAAAAGCCAAAUAAUUUAAUUGUGGGAAUAGUGAUUUGCAAUAAAGCACAAAUCUGAAUAAAACAAAAUCUAAUUAAUCUGAGGUGGUUUGUUUAACUUUAACUAUUUUAUUUGGAUAAUUCGUACUGAGUUAAGAUGCUGCAAAUAGAAUAAUAGCAAUUAUUAUCAGAUGAAACCAUUAAUUAAAUGACUUGGUUUGAUCUAAAAGUCAUAAACAAUGUCGCUUCUGUAAACAAGGUCAUAAAAAAAGAGAAAUGCUUAACAUAAACCUCCAAAUGGGAUAUAUAUAUAUCUUUUAUUCAAACUGUCCAGAAGUUAAAACGACCCACUUGAGUUUUAUUAUUAUUAUUAUUAUUAUUAUUAUUAUUAUUAAAAGAGAAUGUCAUAAGUUUAAUGAGAUAGAAUUAAGUAUUAGAUGAAUAAAGAUUAUAAAUACUAACCAACUAUUUCAAACAUAUACGCUGAUAGAAAGAAAUUAAUCACCCGUCGCACUUAAAAGUUCAACUACAACACACAAAGAAUUCAACCUCACUUAAUUUAUCUGAAUGUUAGAUAUAUUGUUAGGCCUCUUACCAUUAAUAAAUAACCAACGAUCCUCUCAACCUAUCUGAAUAUUAGGUCUAUUGUCGGCUCAAAUACAAUACUCGUGGAUAGGCUUAUCUAAGAUUGAAUCUAUUUUAAGCAAUAAUAAAUAACCAACAAUACCCUCAACAUCUGCAUCGUUAAUACAAUAUGUGGGAAUCAAAUCCGCGUUACUGACUCUGAAACUAUUUGUAGAUCGUAAAUACUAAUCAAUUAUUUCGAAAGCAUGUGUUGAUGAAAGAGCGCACUGGUCGCACUUAAGGGUUCAAAGUGCUCACGGAUUUCGACCCGACUCAACCUAACUCGACGUUAGAUUUAUUGUUUAACCUAACUUGACAUCACGUCUAUUGUAGAUCUCAGUUUCACUCAAUUUAUUACGGUUCAUCCACCUCAGAUUAUUAUUUUUCUAAUCCUAUUACCAGGGGACAGAAGCCCUAUUUUAGGAGGAAUUCUACACUGUCACACUUGCACCACGUCAUCAAUAACAAGCCAAUCAUAUCCCUUCUUUUCAAACAAAAGUACAAUAAAAAUACUUUUUUACAAUCAUGAUGGGAUAUAUAUAUUCUUAAAAGAAUUAAUUUGAUUGGUUUGUUACGCUACGGCACUAAUAUACCCGUUGCAUUCUAGAAUUUUUUCUAUUUUAGACAAUAAAAGAAAAAUAUGUACUAAAUCAUGCCAAAGAAAAAGACCAAAAAAAAAAAAAGAAAAAAAGUAUGGCUUUUGGAGGAGUGAGAUAAAAGACGAGACAUCUGAUAUCAGAAAAGCUGAGACUGAUAUACAAACAUCUUCUGACUACAUUGGUUGGGUAUAUUUUGUCUCCAUAUAUAAAGGGUGAAUAUUCCAAAUAUUUAUUAACUAUUUAAUUAAUUAAUUAAAACUUGAUUCCCAAGAUAUCUAUGCAGGAAGUUGCCGUGACCAAUUCCCACUUCACAAAUAAUAAUAGUAAUAAAUAAAUAAAAUAAAAUAAGAAAAACCCAAGAAAUUCAGAUUUUUUUUUUUUGAGAGAUAGAUAGCACGCUAUCCGCUUCGUUUAUUUCAUUUAGAAAUAAACUUAGCUAGAAAUAUGAAUAAAUUAGGAUUCGAACUUGAGUCUCGAGUACCAACCAUUAAGCCAUAUAGGGGAUUAACUAUCCUUGUUAAUUUUAGGUCUUAGGUGGAAAUUAAGUACAUAUAUUGACACUUCUAUAAAAUUAUUAGGGUAAACUUCAAAUACCUCCCGUGGUUUCACACUUUCUCACUUUAGUACCGUGUGGUUUAAAGUGUAUCAAGUUAGCUUAUGUGGUUUCGUACUUUUUUACUUUAGUACCCUGUGGUUUAAAAUGUAUCAAUUUUGUACCUUGUGGUUUCAUUUUUCUCUUUUUAUUAUUCAUUUUACUAAUUUUUUUCGUUAAAUCAGUAACAAAGUUUAAAACUAAAUGGUGCUGAAGUAAAUAUUCGAUAAACUUAGAUAGUGUAUUUAAAGUUUUUUUAUAUAUAAUUUAACGAAAUAUUAAUAGAGGAAAAAAAUUAAUGACAAAGUUAAAACAAAAGGAUAUCAAAAUAAAUAUUCGAUAAACCUAGAUAGGGUAUUUGAAAUUUUUUGUAUAUAAUUUAACGAAAUAUUAACAGAUGAGCCGAUGAAAAGAGAAAAAUGAAACUAUAAGAUACUAAAUUUAUGCACUUUAAAUCAUAGAAUAUUAAAGUGAGAAAGUACGAAAUCACAUGGUACUAAAUUAAUACACUUUAAACUAUAGGGUACUAAAGUGAAAUAAUGCGAAACCGGAGUGGUAUUUAAAGUUUUCCAAAAUUAUUAUUUUGUUUUCUUGCUUGGUGGUCACGAGUAACUUUCUGUGUGACCUCAAUCUAUUCAAUUAUCAAAAAAGAGUGUGGCUAAAAUAUUACCAAUAGUAAAUUAAUGAGUUUUGGUAUCACUAUUUUAUUUUUUAAUAAUAAGAUAUUAAUUAUAUCAUUAAAUAUAAUCUAAAAUAUAUAAAGUAUUUAUAAACUAAUUUUUAUGUCUUUGGAUAUAAAUUAUCAAAUGGUCCAACGGACCCAGUAGGGGUAUUUAUUCAUUAGUGGCUGAGAAUAAUCCAAAAUAAUUAUAUUUUUAUUAGAAAAAUCUAUAAACUAUUUGAAUCAAGAUCAAUACACUGGAUACUGGACGCAAGAAUAUUGUCCUUGAUUUUUAGGUUUUAGCGUAUUUGCUUUCUCCUGUAUAUGUAAGCGGCCGCUUGAUGCACAAAAAGAUAAUUUCGAAAAGUAUAAUUUUAAUUUUUUAAGAGAAAUGCAAAGUUUACGAUCCAUUUUGGGUUGUAACAUAAGCAAUCGUUAAUCCUAGGGUUAUAACAACACUCUAACAUUUACUUAGUAAUAAGACUAGUAUAAAAUUUAUGAUCUUUGGAUUCGAUUGCUAUUUAAACCGAGAUGCGGUUCUACAGGUAUCAUUGCUCAUAUUUUAAAUGGUUUAAAUUACAUAGUAUCGAUUUGAAUAUUUUAUCAUUAUAAAUAAAUCAGUAGUAUCAAACACAUUUAUCAAUACUUAUUUAAGUAUUUAGCAACCGUCGGAACCCUAUCUCGUCGGUUGCGUCGCGGAGGAGGAGAAGGAGAAGAGCGAGGGGCUCUUCGUCUAGUAUUUCAGUGGAUUGAGUGAGUGAAGAAGAGGAGAUAAUGAUCGAUUUUUCUUCUUCUUUUAUUUUUCUUUUCUGUUUGUAAUCGGAACAAAUAGGUUCGAUGGGAUGGGCUGAAUAAAAUAAUCUUUUAUUUUUGAUUGAAUUAGAAUUCAUAUAUAUUUAGGCCUUAGUAGAAUUUUUUAAAAGUUUUGUCAUAAAUGAGACAUUUACACAAAAAUAUUCUAAAAAUAUGUUCCUAUAAACUGAUUCUGUUGUAACGUGAUCAUAUCCAAAAGCUGCAAAUAAAUAAAUAAAUAAAAUAAAAUAAAAAAAUCAGGGUGCAGGUCCACAUAGUUUACAUUAGCGGAGCCCUGCAUCCGCAUAACAUUUUUAUGCGAAGGUUGGGAUUAAAGAGGUCCUCAUGAAUUUGAAUAAUUGUUAGUGUAAAAACAAAAAAAAAAAGAUCUUUUCUUUAAUCCAUUUAGGAAUCAAAGUUGAUUUCCAUCUCUAUGGAAGAAAUCAUUUUCGAAAAAUUUGAUUUUUUGAUAUAAAAAUCAGAAGGUCACAUUUCCAUCUCUAUCGAAGAAAUUAUUUUCGAAAAAUUUGAUUUCGUGAAAUAAAAAUCAGAAUGUCAAUCCCAUAGCUCAAAUACUAAUAAUAAAGAUGAAUUAUUUUCGAUUCUGAUUCCAAAUCUUAGUAAGUCCAUCAAAUCAAACACAUCUUUAGUUAAUUCUUUUCCUUAGUCUAAUAUGGGCGUUGUUCUCAAUGCGUUUUAAUACAAAUUACCAAUUAAGUUUGGAUUUUCUUGCACAGCAACAAUUCUAUUUUAUGAUAUUUUCCAACAUUUUAUCUGUCUUUUUAUAUUAUUUAGAUUAGUUGAUUGAGUCAAACAUGACAAAAAAAAAAAUCUCACAUUAUUGAAUGGACAAAUCGAAUUGUGUAAGGUCUCCUUAAUUAAUAUUCUUAGACUUGGCGUACGUACAUACAGAUUGGACAUCUCACGUGCAGAUCAUUGUACCCAUAGGUUAUGCAGGCGCAGAUAAAAUUUACCCAUAGAAUUUUGGAUAUCUAUCAUCCUUACUUAUACCUGUCCGCGGGUGGGCGAGCUGGUAUAUCGGUUACUCGUAAUAUUUUCUUUUCUUUUUUUUUUUUCUCUUUCUAUGGUUAUACUUUUCAAACACAAAUAAUAUAUAUCAUGAAAUGUAGGCCAGAAAAGGCAGAAUGAACUGCAGGCUGCAGGGCCAAGCAGGCCUUAAUUUUAAUGGAAGAAAGAGAAUUACCAACAAGCUGAAACCAGUGACAGUGGCAAAGGAGGUGGCCAUGGAAGCACCAGAGAGAUCCAGCUCCCCAAAGUGGCCAACAAACAUCAAUGAUAUCACCCUUAUAAUGUUUUGCAAAAGGUUCCCUGCUAUGAGAGGCCCUGCUAACCACAGCUGCUUCUUUACUUCACUUUGUAUGACCCCCUCUAACCCUUCUCUCCUAUUUCUGGAACUUGUGGUGAGCAGAGGAGCCUCUAGGCUUAUUGGUUGCUCCAUCUCUCCUUAAUCACACAUACUCUCUCUCUCUCCCUAGAUCUCUCUCUUUCUCUCUAAGUGGCUAGAGAGGGAGGAGUGGCCAUUUUGAGAAAAGAAGACAAUUUGUCUUUCUCUUUGUUGUGAGGGCAAAUUAUGUCACUUGCCAAUUAUUAAUAAAGGUAUAAAAGAAUAUAGAACUUAACUUAAUUAUAUAUAUAGGGUGUUUUUGAAAAGUGAUUUCAGAGUCAAAAGUAACUUUCGGCCUAAUUGGACGUUCGACAAUCUUAUUUUCAAAAUCUAAUUCUGAUUUAAAUUAGAAUUAGCUAAACUUGCUUUUUGAAAUCUGGUUCUGAUUUUGGAAUCAAAUUUCAAAAUUUUAUUUUAAUUUUCGACUUAAAAUUUAAUUUUAAUUUUAAUUUUAAUUUCAAUUUUUAACAUUUAUUUUUGAAUUUUUAAAUUUUAAAUUUCAAAUUUUUAAAUUUGAAAUGUCCAAUUUUAAAUUUGAAUUGAUUUAUAUUUUAGCCUUUAAUUUACAGUGUAGAUUUGAAAUGUUUUCAUAAUUGUCAAAUAUAUUUUUUAAUUCAAAAAAAAUUUAAAUUUUUAGAAUAACUUAGUUUUUAUUCAAUUUAAUUAUUUGGAAAUAUAUUUGUAAAAUAUUUAUUUAUGCAAAUAUUAUUUUUGUCAACUUUAAAUUUUAUUACUCCAGAAAAAUUUUUUUAAUCUAAACUCAGCCAAACGCUUUAUAGCUUUUAACCAAAAUUAUUUUUCUAAACCAACAUCAAUUCUACAGAAAUCACUUUUCCACAAUCUAAGCAAAACGGGCCCAUAGACAUUUUGAAUUUUCUAUCUAACCUUUCAAAAUUUUGAUUUUAUCAUUUUACCCUUCAAUGUAUUUGAUUAGAGCUCGUCAACGGUACUGUGAUUUCAAAAUUUAAGUUAAUUAUUUUCUUUAAUAAACUUAUAUAUUAUUGCGAGAAUCGUAUGAAAUAUACUAACUAAACUUUUAAAAUAAAUGAUGCAUUCAAAUUUUGAAUUCAAAAUAUUGUUCACUAACUGAAAUCAAAUAAGUUGAAACGGUAAAAUCAAAAUUUUGAAAGGAAGCUAUAUCAAAAUGGUCCAUAGUUUGGAAAAGUAUUAAUUGUAUGUUUCUAUCUUAUUAAAAUAGUAAUGCUACAUGUACGCCCAAAAAGUAUGCAUAAAUCUUAUACCUUACCAAUUUAAUAAUCAAUAUUUUCACAUUACUUCAAUUAAAUUUUAAUAUUUAAAAUCCAAAGAAGCUUUCUAAAAUUUUGGAUGGUGUAGUGUAAGAUUUACAUCUCACAUUUUUUAUAUACAAAUAGUAUUUCUUUUACUAAGAAAAUGAUUACUAAUAAUAGAUCUGCAGAUCUAAUUUGUAUUGUCUUUUUUUUUUUUUUUUUUUUUUUUUUAAAAAAAAGAGAGAUAGGUAGCACACUACCCGUUUCGUUUAUUUCAUAAAAGAAAUAAACUUAGCUAGAAAUAUGAACAACUAGGAUUCGAACUUGGGUCUCGGGUACCAACCAUCAAGCCCUUUACCACUUGCUUUAGGGACGGUCGGUAUCAAAAUUGUAUUAUCAGUUAACAGUUUAUAAGGCUUGUGAUGCGGCCAAUUUUGCAUUAGAAUUCAUGGGGAAGCUUGACUAUAAGAAGUUAGGUCGAAAAUUCCAUUGAGUUCGGCAAAUUCUACAAACAAUUUGUAAACUUUUUUAAGCCGUCAUAAUAUUUUUUUGCGUAGUUGUCCGCUUUAGUAUGCAAGUCCAAUUUGAAACAUUUUUUAAGAUCUAUGCACCUAACAGCACUGUUUCUGCUGAGUUUCUGACCCAAAUUUAAUUAUUUACACCUCCCAACUUGCACUUUUAGACUACUUUUGAAAAGAAUUUAUAUUUUUCCUGUUUUGAGACAAAUUAAUGAGUUGGUUAUAGUUAUUCUGGUCAAAUUAAAUUUAGAAAUAGGCUAAAUUAUAGAAAACCUUUCUCUCAAUAUCCGCUUUUUAUGUUAUUCAAAAACCUACACUUAUUCCUUUAAAAAAUAAAAAAUAUUCACAUGGGGGUACGCUGUGGCAAAACAACCAAAUUGCCCAUCAUCUUCUUCAAGAUGGGUGUAGACGGAGAGGUGGGCGAGGACGAGGGCGAGGGUGAGGUGGCGGAGGCGGGCGAGGGCGUGUGUGCGGGCAUGGACAGAGAGGUAAGCGAGAGUGGGGCGGCGGACGGCGAGGCGGCGCGGCCGAGGAUGAGGAAGAAGAAGGAUUUCGGGAAUAUUUUGGGUAUAAAAAAUAGAAUGUAAAUGGAACUCUAACGGAACACUAACGAUGGGAUUAAAAUGAAUUUUUUUUUUAUUUUUUAAGGAGGCAAAGCGUAGAUAUUUGAAUGACAGGGGGGAAAGUGAAAAACGGAUAUUGACAUAAUUUUUUUUAUAACUUAGCCAUAUAAAUAUUUUAUAUUAUGUUAUUUUUUAUACUAGCAGGAUUCUGAUAUCACCUAUGUAAACAUAUGACAUUCGAUUAAUGUAAGCAGUCUAGAGUUUUGAUGAAUAAUAUUUUUCUCUUUUUGAAUAAUUUUUUUCUUCACGUCUCACUCUUUCUUUAUUUAUACUCUUUUCCUCUCAACGCAAUUUAGACCUGCGUCAAUUUGGAAGUACUUAAGAGCAAUCUAAAAAAGAGAAUUAAAUACGCAAUCUAGACCAUUCAUUGCUCUUCAAAUAUAAAGAGUUGUAAGAAAAAGACAUUAAUUCAAACUAUAGCGCAAAUAAAAUUAGUGACAAGCGGGUAAAAUUGAGUAAUUAGUUUCUAUUUUGUUUGUGGGUCCUUCAUUAAAUCUGAUUGUUAAUUAUUUUUAUACGUGAACUGUAACUAAAAGAUAAUAAAAUAAAAUGGGAUAAUUGGCAAAAUAGAUUCGGGAUACGUGAAACACAUAAAAAGUAAAAUGUUGUUCGAAGACGACGCUACCCAUCUCUUGCUAUCAGAUCCGUCCCGUUCGCAUCCCCAUCUCUCGCUAUCCUCCCCCCCCAGAUGCGACCUAUUUCUAGCGAUCAGAUCCGUCGCGUUCGCAUCCUGAUCGCAUCCGAAUCUCCACAUCCACCCACCCACCCCGGACGGGACCCAUCUCUCGCUCUCAGAUUUGUCCUGUUCGCAUCCCGAUCGCAUCCGAAUCUCCACACCCACCCACCCCCCAAUCUCUCGCUCUCAGAUUCGUCCCAUUCGCAUCCCGAUCGCAUCCGAAUCUCCACACCCACCCACCCCCCAAUCUCUCGCUCUCAGAUUCGUCCCUUUCGCAUCGCCAUUCGUCCCAAUUAAUUGAUUUGUCCACCAUAUAUGUUCCUGUUCCUAUAAUGUUUUUAACUUUUGGAUCUACCUUUUGGGCUAUUGAAUAAAAAAUUUAGUAAUAAAGUUAUUGGCGGGGUCUAUUAUUGUGUAUGACAUAAGGAUUGUUAGGGUUGAUCCAAUGAGCCAAAAAGGUUAUAACACCAACAUUUUAGCGCUUCUAAAAGCAUUUCGGUUGGUCUCUCUCUCUCUCUCUCUCUCUUUUAUAUAUAUAUAUAUAUAUAUAUAUAUAUAUAUAUAUAUAUAUAUAUAUAUCGGCUACUGUACUCUUAUCAGUAUCAUCGUCUUCGUACUCAUAAAUCGUUUUCGAUGAUAGAACUUCCGAACCGACAAUCUGUCAGAUCGUUGGCGCUAACCAUUAAUCCCAAAAGCUCGAGCUGUUAAAAAUAUAUAACCAAUUCACUUAAAGCGUACAGAUACAACGCCCACAGAUCUCGAUUAUGACUCGGCCCACCCAGCCUCACGCCACUUUGAACAUGGCUUGGCUUACCUAGCCUCACGCCACUUCGAACAUAAUUCGGCCCAACAUAGCCUCCCGCCAUAAGGCAGGACUCUAGCAUCUGCAACAUGCAGGAAUUGAACUCUUGACCUCUGCCUCUGAUACCACUUGUCAGAUCGUUGGCGCUAACUAAAAAGCUCAAGCUGUUAGAAAUACGCAACCAAUUCCACUUAAAGCGUACAAAUACAGCGCCCACGGGUCUCGAUUGUGACUCGGCCCACCCAGCCCCACGCCACUUAUAACAUGACUCAGCCCACCUAUCCUCACGCCACUUUGAACAUGACUCGGCCCAACAUAGCCUCUCGCCACAAGGCAAGAUGCUCUUAGGUUCAUCCCAUUCGCAUCCCCAUCUCUCGCUCGUUGCUAGAUCCAUCCCGUUCGCAUCUCCACCCCCUCCCUUCCUACCCAUUUCUGGCUAUCAAAUAUGUCCUAUUCGCAUCCCGAUCUCUCGGCAUCCCCAUCUCUCACUCUCAGUUCCGCCCCAAUUAAUUGAUUUGCCCACCAUAUAUGUUUCUAUAAUGUUUUUAACUUUUGGAUCUACCUUUUUGACUAUUGAAUAAAAAAUUUAGUAAUAAAGUUAUUUAUGGGGUCUAUUAUUGUGCAUGAUGUAAGUAUCGAUAGGGUUGAUCAAAUGAGCCAAAAAGAUUAUAACACCAACAUUUCGGCGCUUCUAAAAGCAUUUCGGUUAAUGGUCUCUCUCUCUCUAUAUAUUAUAUAUAUUUCUAUAGAGUGCGGCUACUAUACUCUUAUGAGUAUUAUCAUUUUCGUACUUAUAAGUCAUUUUCGAUGAUAGAGAUUUCGAACCGACAAUCCAUACCGUCAAAUAUUAUCUACAGUAUUUGAAACUUAUAACAGUUAAAUUUUAUAAUUUUUCGAUAUUAUUUAACUUAAGAUCAAAAUAUCUCAAAGUUGACUGUUAGUUAUUUAUUAUUGGGCUAAAAUAGGUUUAACUUCCUGCCCUGUGACAAUUGACCAAGGAGACAAAUAGAUUGAGUUGGGUGAGUCUAAUAAGUUAAGUGAUAGUGUGGUCAAUAAUAGACCUAACGACAGAGGUCCAAUAAUAGACCCAACAUUCAGCUGGGUUGAUUCAAGUUGAAGCCCGUGAGCACUGUGGCUGAACACUUAAGUGCGAUGAGUGCACCCUUCCUAUCAGCACAUGCUUUUGGGACAGUUGGUUAGCGCUUAUGAUCCACAUUGACAACUUUUAACGAUCGGCAUGAAAUAGUUGUUAGUUUAACGAUAUAAAAGAAUCAAAAUUAGUUGAAUUUUUUAUGAAAAUUUUAUUCACUAUCUAUAUAAUGUUUAAUAAUAUGGAUUGUCGGUUUUCAUAUCAUCUAAAACGACUUAUGAGUAGGAAUGCGGUCAUAUUCAUCAGAGUAUUGUAGUCUUAUUUUCUUCGAGUCAAACUACUGUACUCUUAUGAGUGCUUAGCCCUUGGAUAAAGCGAUGUGUGGUUAGAAUGAUAUAAAUUCUCUAGGAUUGAAUGUGCGGUUGGUUGAAUAGUAUGAUCUACGUUAACGGAUGGAAAUAGUCAAAGGAGCAGAUGUAAUGGCGGAAAACUUAGUAACAUAAAGCGCUUAGUACUAUUAAUAGCAUAAUAGUCGGACUAUAUAUAUAUACAUAGAGAGAGAGAGAGAGAGUAGAGCUACUAUGCUAUCGGAAGCAUAGAGGAUCUUGGUGCUUCCGAUUUUUUGACCCUUAGAUCAGCCCUUUUAAUCAUUUAUAACCUUUGGAUUAAUACUAUUAUUCUAUGAGGACCACUCAACCCUAGGGGUACUGCUCAACGCUAGGAGGGAUCGUAAUCAUCCCAAAUGUACAAUUCUUAAUUCAUGGGUCAAAAAAUCGAAAGCAUCAAAUCUUCUAUGUUUUCGAUAGCAUAGUAGCUAUAUAAUUUUUAUGAAUAAUUUGGUGGCAUUAAAACUUUUUAUUAUAAAUAUUUAAUGUUAGAGAAACUGCACUCUGAUUUUUCCUUUGAAGAAAAAAGAAGAAUAAUGUUAAAUAUAAAAGUAUUUAAAUAUUAUUUUUUAAUUAAUAUGAUAUCAGAACAGAAGGUCUUGAGUUCAAGUCACGUCAGGUCACGUCUAAGUUUCUAGCAUUAUUAAUUUUGUCUUAUUUAAUUCAAAUCCAUAUUAUGGGUCUAGCGAAUAGUCUCGAAUCCGGACGUCAGCGCGCGAGAAUGAGCUUUGACGAUAAUGGUUGUUUCGUAUUAUUUAGCAAAGAAAGUCGCAUUUCUUUUUUUCAAUAAUUCCUAUUUCUUUAAGAUAAUUAUUAACUAAAUAAAAGAGAGAGAGAGAGAGAGAGAGAGAGAGAGUAGAAUAUUAGUAAAUAAAUAAUGUAAACAGGUACAUAAAAAGAUUGUGUGCGAAUCAAGAAGAAGAAAUUUGUUUCCAAUAACCCAGCCUGCAAUUUAUGGAUAUGCUAUAUAUCUGUAGCCAAUCUGGAUCAAAUAUUAAUUAUUAGGCAGAUGUUAGUAAAAAAAAAAAAUUAUUUAGGAAUAUUUUGGGAAUAAAAAUUGAGAGAUCCAAAAAUUAUUAUGGACAUAUUAUGAGUGAAGGCAAAUUUAAUUCUAUAUUUAAUUUUUUGGUAAAACGUGUGCAGGACACCCAAAUUAUUGUGGGAUUAUUUGGCGUUGCCACCGCUCAAUCCUAAGUAGGGGUGGUAAUCCAGCUCAUGUUCGGCUCGGAAUGAGCUCGCGAUCGAAUUGCUUGCUUAAUAAACAAGAUGAAAACGAGCUGAAUUUUUCAACUCUUUUAAUAAACGAAUCGAACAUGAGCUGGGGUCAACUCGCUCGUGUUCGGCUCGAUAAAAACUCGAAUACAUAUAUAUAUAUAUAUAUAUAUAUAUAUAAGUCCAACUCAAUUAUAGAAAAAUCAUUUAUAUGUAAGGUUUCAACUAUCAGAUCAAAAUCAAAUCGGUAAGAUCUUAUAAAUUUAUUUUCUAUACGUAUCAUUUAUAUUUGUUUUAACUUUUUAUGCAUUAGUCAGCUCGUAUUUGGCUCGUGUUUGGCUCAUCAAUAAAUGAGCUGAAUUUUUCGGCUUGAUAAUUUAACGAGCCAGCUCGUGCUCGACUCCUUUAGAAAUCAAGCCGAACACGAGUCGGUGUCAGCUCGCUCGUGUUCGGCUCGUUGACACCCCUAGCCGAACAUAACAUGCUUCGAGGAGGUCAAUUCACAGCGAAAAACCUAAGCCAAUUAAAAGCUUAGAGUUCUCAGUCUUUAAAAACUUCCUCGUUCUUAAUUAAUAAAACUUUUAUAUGUUUUCUUUCAUCAUCAACAAAUGAAAGCAAAUAUGGUAAAAAAGUUUAAGGACAGAGUACUUCUUGUGUUCAGAAUCAUGGGUAUUGAUCUUGAUUCAAAUAGUUUAAAGAGUUUUCUAAUAAAAAAUUAAAUCAUUUUGGAUUAUUCUCUACUACUAAUGAAUAAAUAAUUAACAUUGAAAAAUAUAGAAAUUAGCUUUUAGGCACUUCAUAUAUUUUAGAUUAUAUUAAUCUUUUUUUUUUCUUUUUGAGGGAAAGUACGUCAUGAGGUGAUCUUAUUUAAUUAAUCAGUGGAUACAGAUUUGAGAAAAUUCAUCAAUAAAAGACUAAAAAGAAAGUUUAUUUGCCUGUGAGUCCCCAAGUGGCUAAGCAAUCCGCAAUUAUAGCAUGUUUAAAAAAUCUCGAAUUCCAUAUGAAGUUGAAGAAAUUGAAUCUCUCUGUAAAAAACCAUAGUUCCAUGAUUUUUAUCCGAGCUUCAGGUGUUAGCGAAUCUGAGUGAUAACUCCUGCGGUACAAAGCUUUGAUGAUGGAUGCUGAAUCUGAGAAAAUAUAAAAAGUUUUUCCAGGAUACAUUUGCAAAAGAAGCUCUGUCACUCGAGAGAUUGCUACAUUUAGAUUAUAUUAAUCAGUAUAAUUCAUUGAUUCAAGUGCCCCUAUUACUAAAAAAUAAAUAAGUAAUAUCGAAACUCAUUAAUUUACCAUUGAUGACAUUUUUGGUCAAACUUGCUCUCGAUAUAUAAUUCAAUAGACAGAGAUUGUGGAUCGUACUAAUAAUAACAAUAACAAUAAUAAUAAUAAUAAUAAUAAUAAUCAUAAUAAUAUGGCAAUUUCGAGAAGUUUCAAUGCAUGCACCGUUUACAUGCGACAAAAAAUUAACAAGGAUAUUUGAUCUCUACGGGUCAUUGACAACCUCUUGAUUAUUUUUUUAUAAUUAUUUAUUUUUAAGAAUAAUUAUUUAUAUAUUUUUGAAAAUUUUUGGACUUUUUUAUUAACCUUACUUAGAAAAAUAUUAAAACAACCGUUAUCUUUAUAAAUUAAGGAAAACUUCAAAAACCCUUCCGGUGGUUUCGUAGUUUCUUACUUUGCCCUCCUGUGAUUUAAAAUGUAUCAAUUUGCCCCCAUGUGAUUUUUUUUUCUCUUUUUCUUAUCAAUUUUAUUAUUUUUUUUUCUUAAAUCAGUGAUAAAGUUAAAAUUAAAGGGUACUAAAAUGAAUAUUUGAUAAAUCUAGAUGGGCAUUUGAAGUUUUUUGUAUAUAAUUUAAUAAAAUAUUAACGAAAAAGCUACCGAAAAGAUAGAAACGAAAUCACAGGGGGGCAAAUUGAUACACUUUAAACCACAGAGUACUAAAGUGAGAAACUACGAAACCACGGGGAGUUUUUUAAAGUUUUUUCUCUAAAUUAUUACUUUGUCUUUUUAAAUAUACUUUCUAUCGUUACCAAUUUUUUUAUUAAUUUGUCCUUAAGUUGUUGAUAAAAAAAUAUAUAUUUUAAAAUUUUUUUAACUCAGUACAAAUUUUAUCUGGAUUUAAUUCGAAAUUACUUAAUGGAUACUAAGAGCGAAAUUAUUUGAAACAAAAUAUAUAAUUAUCCUUGUAUUUUUAUAUCUGAAGUAAAAUUGGUCACGGCAGCAUCCGACAUAGAUCUAUCUCUUGGGAACCAAGUUUCAAUUAAUUAAUUGAUAAUUAAUUAAUAUUUGGUAGAGAUAAGAGUGUGGGGGAAUUAGUAUUCACCUCUUGUGUCGUAGACUCCCUUUGUGAUGGAGACAAAAUAGUCAACUAAUAAGUCAUAACACGUUUGUAUACAUAUUUGUCUCACAAAAACAGAGCUUUCCAAAAGAAAGAUGAACAGUCUUCUUUCUCCGCCCUCAAUAGUCAUACUUUUUUUUUCUUUUUUUCUCUUCUUUUUCUGUCUUUUCUCUACUUCUUUUUGACUUAGUUAUUUCUCUGCCCUCUGCCCUCAGUAGCCAUACUUUUAUUUUAUUUUAUUUCUUUUCUGUCCUUCUCUUUAACUUGUUUGAUAUAUAUAUAUAUAUAUAUAUAUAUAGAGUGAGGCUACUAUGCUAUCGGAAGCACGGAGCCUUCCGUGCUUCCAGCUCGUUUUCGAUGUUANAUAGAGAGAGAGAGAGAGAGAGAGAGAGUUGGACUAGGCUACUAUUAGUAGCAAAAUUUCAUUAUUGCUAUCAGUUUUUUAGCCUUUGGAUCAACUCUUUUCAUCAUUUCUAACUAUUGGAUUAAAUACUAUAACCCAGUGGAGACCACUCAACUCUAACUGACUAAUAUCAUCCUAAUCCUAUAAUUUUUCAUCUAAGGGUUAAAAACUUGAUAGCAAAAAGUGCAUUUUACUACUAAUAGUAUUUCAGCCUAAUUAUAUAUAUAUAUAUAUAUAUAUAUAUAUAUAGUCCGACUGGAAUACUAUUAAUAGCAUCAAGGGAUUGGUGCUAUCGAGUUUUACACCGUUAGAUUCAAGCACCCACUCAACCCUAGGGGCCCACAUCAUCCUAACCGUACAUUUCUCAAUCUAAGGGCUAAAAAACUAAUAACACUAAUAGCUUGGUUCUAUUGAUAGUAUUCCAGCAUAGAUAUAUAUAUAUAUAUAUAUAUAUAUAUAGAGAGAGAGAGAGAGAGAGAGAGAGAGAGAGAGAAAGAAAUAGAGAGUUAGGCUCCUAUACUUUCGAAAAUAUAGAGGCUUCCGGACUUGUAAGUUAUUUUUGUUGAUGGGGCAUCUGAUUUGGAGAUCGACUUCGUUAGACAUGAUUUACGCUAUUCGAAUUAUUUAGAAACCAAAUUUUAUAAUUUUUUUACUUCAUUUGCCUGGUAAACAGGUAGGCUCAAAAUGAACGGCUGAAAAUAAAAAUCUCGUAAAAUAUAGUGAAAAAAGACUCAAAUUUCAAAUUGGAAAUAUUGUUCUUACUCUUGAUGUUAAGUAGAAUUUUCUAUUAAAGUUUUAUGUAAUUUGGAUUCUUCUACACCGUUGAACUUUAAAACGUGCCACAUCGGCCGUUAAAAUAGUCAUUUUUGAGACUCUUUGAUCACUUGGUAAAUGAUGUCAAAAAAUUAUGAAAUUUGGUUUUUAAAUAGUUCUAAAAGCGUAGAUCAUGUCUAACGGAACCGAUCGCCGAAUCAGAUGCUCUAUCAUCAAAAAUAACUUAUAAGCACGAAGGCCCCCGUACUUUCGAAAAUAUAGAAGACGUACUCGAUAUAUAUAUAUAUAUAUAUAUAUAUAUAUAUAUAUAUAUAUAUAUAUAUAUAUAUAUAUAGUCCAGCUGCUAUACUAUCGGUAGCAUGGGGCCUCCCGUGUUACCAAGUUGUUUUCGAUGAUGCGGUUUCCAAAUCGACGAUCGGCUCUGUUAGACUUAAUCUACACUAUUAAAAGUAUUUGAAAACUAAAUUUUAUAAUUUUUUGACAUCAUUUGACUAGUGAUCAAAAGAUCUCAAAAUUGACAAUUGUAAUGGCCGAUGUGGCGUGUUUUUUAGUUUAACGGUGUAAAACAAUUCAAAUCCGAUGAAAAUUUUAUUGAAAUUUUUUUUCACUAUUUAGAGUAAGAUCAGUAAAUCUGAUCUUAAAUUUAAAUCUUUUAUCAUUAUUUUUUAUGAGAUUUUUAUUUUCAGCCGUUCAAUUUUAGACUAUUUGUUUGAUAGGUAAAUGAUAUCAAAAAAUUAUGAAAUUUAUUUUCCAAAUAUUUUUAAUAGUGUAGAUCAAGUCUAACGGAGCCGAUCGUCGAUUUGAAAGCCACAUCAUCGAAAACAACUUGGUAGCACGGGAGGCCCCGUGCUAUCGAUAGUAUAGUAGCCGAACUCUCUCUCUCUCUCUCUCUCUCUUUCUCUGUAUAUAUAUAUAUAUACAUAUGUAUAUGUAUAUAUAUAUAUAUAUAUACAUAUACAUAUGUAUAUAUAUAUAUAUACAUAUGUAUAUAUAUGUAUAUAUAUGUACAUAUAUGUAUAUAUAUGUAUAUAUAUGUACAUAUAUAUGUUAUAAUAUGUUAUAUAUUACAUAUGUACUAUAUAUAUGUACAUUAUAUAUAAUAUAUAUAUGUUAUAUAUAUGAUACAUUAUAUAUUUAAAGAUGUAUAUUCGUAUAUAUGUACAUAUAUAUAUGUAAUGUACAUAAUAUUUAUAUGCUACAUGUAUAGAUAUAUACAUAUAUAUAUACAUUGUCAUGAUUAUAUGUAAUGUAGUUAUAUAUAUGUAAAUGUACAUACAUAUAUGUACAAUAUAAUAAUAUAUGUAUUAUAUGCUUUAUUAAUUUAUUAUUGUACAUGUAAUAUAUUUAUAUAUGUACAUAUUAUAUUGUACAUGUACGUGAUACAUAUAUAUAUGUAUUAUAUUUAUAUAAUAUUGUACGACCUGGACCGGCAAAUGUUAGUUCCGUUUAGCACGUGACGUUGACUCAGUCGUACUAUUAAUUUCUAGCUGGUGAUAUGGCUUGAUAUUAAAUAUACCCGAACACUCGUGUACCGUAGCAUAUAGUAGACCGAAUCUUCUCUCUCUCUCCUAUUUCUCUUUUAUAUAUAUUAUAAUAUAUUGUAACGACCUGACCGACCCAAAAUGCUUAGCCUAGUUAAGCACUGAGUUAGACCUCACCGGUAUAUCUCAUCACUUCUUAGUGGUGAAUGGCAUUACAUUUAAAUAUAACGACCGACCCAUAGCGAAUAAUAGACUGUUGGGCAAAAACAAUCGGCUCAAAUGUUAGCCAGAUUAUUAUGUUAUUUACAUCAAGCUAUAUACCCAUCUGGUCAUAACUAUAUAAUUUGGGAUAUUGGGUGACACAAACACAAACACGGCGUUACUCGAUGCGAGCGGCGCACAAACACACAGUAUAUAUAUAUAUAUAAUUAUUUAUAUUAUAUUUAUAUAUAUAGAGAGAGAGAGAUGAAGAGAGAGAGGAGAGAGAGGGGGAGGAGAGAGUAGGGAUAGAUAUUGUAAAAGUAUCAUGGGGGUGAUACUGUGUGUUUUUUAACCUAUGAUGAGAGAUGUGACGGUUGAGAUAGAUGUGUAGGUGAUGGUCUAGGUGGAAUAGUGUUUAAUCAAGGGUAUUAAUAUCAAAACAAAGUAUGAUGCUGGCUUAAACCUAAAUAGACAUGAUGAGUGUAUUGGUAAAUAGUCUAAGCUCAACAUGUACAUAAUAUUUAUAUGCUACAUGUAUAGAUAUAUACAUAUAUAUAUACAUUGUCAUGAUUAUAUGUAAUGUAGUUAUAUAUAUGUAAAUGUACAUACAUAUAUGUACAAUAUAAUAAUAUAUGUAUUAUAUGCUUUAUUAAUUUAUUAUUGUACAUGUAAUAUAUUUAUAUAUGUACAUAUUAUAUUGUACAUGUACGUGAUACAUAUAUAUAUGUAUUAUAUUUAUAUAAUAUUGUACGACCUGGACCGGCAAAUGUUAGUUCCGUUUAGCACGUGACGUUGACUCAGUCGUACUAUUAAUUUCUAGCUGGUGAUAUGGCUUGAUAUUAAAUAUACCCGAACACUCGUGUACCGUAGCAUAUAGUAGACCGAAUCUUCUCUCUCUCUCCUAUUUCUCUUUUAUAUAUAUUAUAAUAUAUUGUAACGACCUGACCGACCCAAAAUGCUUAGCCUAGUUAAGCACUGAGUUAGACCUCACCGGUAUAUCUCAUCACUUCUUAGUGGUGAAUGGCAUUACAUUUAAAUAUAACGACCGACCCAUAGCGAAUAAUAGACUGUUGGGCAAAAACAAUCGGCUCAAAUGUUAGCCAGAUUAUUAUGUUAUUUACAUCAAGCUAUAUACCCAUCUGGUCAUAACUAUAUAAUUUGGGAUAUUGGGUGACACAAACACAAACACGGCGUUACUCGAUGCGAGCGGCGCACAACACACAGAUAUAUAUAUAUAUAUUAGAUUAUUAAUUGAUAUAUUAUAUAUAUAGGAGAGAGAGAGAGGAGAGAGAGAGAUGGAGAGAGAGAGGGGAGAGAGAGUAAGGGCAUGAUAUUGUAAAAGUAUCAUGGGGGUGAUACUAUGUUGUGUUUUUAACCAUUGGAUGAGAGAUGUGAGGUUGAGAUGAUGUGGUAGGUGAUGGUCUAGGUGGAAUAGUGUUUAAUCAAGGGUAUUAAUAUCAAAACAAAGUAUGAUGCUGGCUUAAACCUAAAUAGACAUGAUGAGUGUAUUGGUAAAUAGUCUAAGCUCAUAUAUAUAUAUAUAUAUAUAUAUAUAUAUAUAUAUAUAUAUAUAGUUGAGCUAGAAUACUCUUAAAAGCACCAAGUAGGUGGUGCUUGUGAGUUUUUAACCAUUGGAUUGAGAGAUGUAGGAUUGAGAUGAUAGUGGUAGGUGGUGAUAGGUGGUGGUAGGUGGAAUAGUGUUUGAUCCAAAGGGUAUUAGUAAUUAAGGAGUGAAUCCAAAGGUUAGAAACUUGGAAGCACCAAGCGGUUGGUGCUUCCAAAAGUAUUCUAGCUCCACUCUCUCUCUCUCUCUCUCUCUCUCUCUCUCUCUCUCUAUAUAUAUAUAUAUAUAUAUAUAUAUAUAUAUAUAUAUGAGUAGAGCUACUAUGCUGUCGGAAGCAUAUAGGAUGUGUGGUUCUUCCGACUUUUUGCCUUUAUAUCAACCACUUUGAGUAUUUCUAACCUUUGGAUUAUUACUAUUAUCCUGUGGGAACCACUCAACCCUAGAGGUAUUGCUCAACUCUAGAAAAACCGCAAUCAUCCCAAUCGUACAAUUCAUGAUCCAAAAGUCAAAAAGUCGGAAACAUCAAAUAUUCUAUGCUUCUAAUAAUAUAAUAACUCUACACUAUAUAUUAUCAUUUUUUAUACAAACAGGCACUAAAAAAUAAGCAGAAAUUUUUCACUCUGUUCAUCUACUAAGGCUCAAUUAACUUUACCAUAAUUUUCAGCUUCUAUACAAAAAAUCAUUCUCCUAUAAAUUUUUUUUGCCUUUUCUUUAUGACUAUCUAAAAUUUAUAUUUUAUCAUAUAAAAUUUUAAGUUGAUGCAUCAGCUUUCGUCAAUAUCCAGUCCAUUUCAUUUCUUCUAAUUUAUACUAAAAAUUAUUUUAAAAAUAACAAAAAAAAUAUUAAAAAUUAUUAUUUUUAUAAAAAUAAAUAAGAACAGUUUACACAUUUUGCUCUCUCCAUUAACACUAUAUUCUUCUAAAAGUAUCUCUAAAAUUUUUAAGAAAAUAAAAUAUAAAAUUUUGAAUUCAAGAGCAAAAAGUUAAAAAAACAGAUAUACAUAAAAACUUCUCAGGGGAUUUAGCACCCAUCUUAUGACUAUUCUAGUCUUAACAUACUUAACUCUCUUAACCUCUUGAGCUUAACUACUGCCAAAUUUAUAGGGAGCCACGCUUUACUCACAAUAAUCAUCAGUAUAAGAAUUUCACUCUUUCCACUAUAUAACCCUAACUCAGCCGAGACUCAUAUCAUAUUUGACACCCUACUUUCUAGAAGGUCAUUCAUUCUAAAACUACUCUAAUCCGAUCACACUUAACUUUUUUAAUCUCUUGGGUUUAACCACUGUUCAAAAUGCUAUUUAAUCCUAUUAUAUCUUAUAUAUAAAACUAUCUGGAGUCUCAUAUUUUUAUAUUAAUUUUUUUUAAAAAAUAAUUUAAUUGUUGGAUGGCGUACAUGUACAUGCACCGUUUCUUUCUUUUUUUUUUCUUUUUUUUUUUAUAUAUAUAUAUUACCCUUGUUUACAGGAUUUUUUAUCAACUGUACGCGUCCAUUAGAGGCGAGGUAGUGACAUUUAGAUCAACGUCAUUCAAUUAUAGAUUGGUCUCAAUUGAUUAUAAUUAUUAGUCUAUUAACAGCAUCCUAACUCAGUACGAUUGUCCAAAUAAAAUAAGUUAAGUUAAACAUUGGUCUCAAUUGAUUAUAAUUAUUAGUCUAUUAACAGCAUCCUAACUCAGUACGAUUGUCCAAAUAAAAUAAGUUAAGUUAAACAAACCACGUCAGAUUACAUUUGGUUUUAUUCAGAUUUGUACUUAAUUUGUUGCAAAUCAAUAUAACCACAUUUUAAUUCGAUUAUAUAUAUGGGAGUAGAGCUACUAUAUGCUAUCGGAAAUAUAGAGGAACUGGUGCUUUCAAUUUUUUGGUCCUUAGAUCAAUCUUGUUUAUCAUUUUUAAUCUUUGGAUUAAUACUAUUAUCCUAUAGAGACCACUCAACAAUAGAAUUACCAUUCAACCUAAGGGAACCGCAAUCAUCCUAUUCAUUUAAUUCUUGAUCCAAAGGUCAAAAAGUCAGAAGCACCAAGUCUUCUAUACUUUCGAUAGUAUAGUAAUUCUACACAUAUAUGGUUCAUGUCCUUUUGGCUUUUGCCUUUUAGCUUCUAGUUCCAGAGUUGUUUUGUUACGGCAUGAAAUAAUUGCAGUUUAAACAGAACGGUAAUUAUUAGAUAAAAUAUAUAUAUAUAUAUAUACCGACCGUCCCUAAAGCAAAUGGCAAAGGGCUUGUUGGUUGGUACCCGAGACCCAAAUUCGAAUUCUAGUUGAUAGUUCUUAAAUAGCUAUAUAUAGAAGAUUUAUGAAUGGGUGUAAAAUAUAUACCUUUUUUGUGGUGUAUCAGUAGCAUUGCUCGUGGCGCAUAUUGUACAUACUAAAAAUAAGGAUAAACUUCAAAUACCAUCUAUGUGGUUUCGCAUUUUCUCACUUUACUAUCCUGUGGUUUAAAGUGCAUCAAGUUAGUACCCUGUGGUUUUAUUUUUUUCCUUUCGUCAACUCCUCCGUUAAUAUUUCGUUAAAUUAUAUACAAAAAAAACUUCAGAUACCCAACUAGGUUUAUCGAAUAUUCACUUUAAUACUCUUUAGUUUUAACUUUGUCACUGAUUUAAUAAAAAAACUUAAUAAAAUAAAAAAUAAAAAGAAAAAAAAAACCAUCUAUACUCUUAUAUGAAUCCUCAAUAUGAAAUGAUGACGUGGCAAGCUUUCAUUUUUUUUAAUUUACGUUUUAUCUCCACUUCUAAAUGCUCAACCCUUCACCUCUCCACAUUUAAUUAUAUUCAUCAUAUUCCACCAAUUAAUGAGCUUAAUUUGUAACUCCAAUCCACUCCCCUCCACCAUUAAUCCCUCACCAUCUCUUUUGCAUGAUAUGUUCUGAAUCCCCAAUAUGAAAUAAUGACUUGGCAAGCUCUCAUUUUUUUAAAUUUACGUUUCAUCUCCAUUUCUAAAUGCUCAACCCUUCACCUCCCCACAUUUAAUUACAUGCAUCAUAUUCUACCAAUUAGUGAGCUUAAUUUGUAACUCCAAUCCUCUCCUCUCCACCAUUAAUCCCCCCACCUCCUCUUUUUUGCAUAACAUGUUAUUUUCCAUGCAAAAAAGAAGAUUUUCAUGUAAUCGCUCACCUCACACUCUCUCUAUCUCAUUGUGUUAACAAAGAUUAUGAGGAUAAUGAAGAAGAAGAGCAUGCGAAGAACGUUGUCUCCUUCAAGAAAUAUUGUCCUGUAAAGUCCAGCCGUGGCUUAUAUAAGUGCUCGCGCAGACCGGUCUGCGCCGAAGCCCUCGCUCGCCGUGAACCGUCGCCACCUCGGCUGUCUCCUCGCGUGGCUCGCGCAUGCCCACACUGGGCCGAGGGGAGCGACGUCCUAGCCUCCUCUUCGCGGGGGCGUUGUGCGGGAGCUCGCUUCUCAAGAAUCGCAGGGACUUCUUGGUAAAUCAAAUUGUUUAAGUAUUAGAAUUUCUGUGGUUGAUGUGAUGGCAAGACUGUAUCGGUUUAGAUAUCGCAGUUUGGUGAUGCAGAUGAGAUGUUUGUUCAUAGGUUACAAUGAAAAUUCAGAAGUGACUCGACGCGGGAAGCAACUACCAGCUGAAAAUUAAGAAGAUGUAUAAGGUUUGGAUAAGUAAGAGAAGUGCUCCAAAAAAAUAUUAGUUUUUUUAAGAUUGAUGUUUUUUGUUUUAUUUUCAUCUUAUGACCAUUUUUUUUUAGUAAACACUGUUGUGGGCAAAAUUCUUUUCAUAGAUUAAAAAGUAUGAUGUGGAGACUGGAGCCUGAGACCCCACCCAAAAUUUUCUUAAGCCAAAAACGUUAAGUUAUUAUUUAUGUAUUUCAUAUGUUUCUAGCUAUGAUUUUAUUUUUUAACAAUUGAAUUUAGUUAUACAAAUUGAUUGUGCUUAACAUGGUAUAACUUCCUAUAAGCUGUAAAUAUAAAUUUUAUUAAAAUUUUAAAAAUUUAUUUUUAUUAUCUACCCGCUACAUCGCGCGGGUCUCUAUACUAGUAUAAUAUUAAAUUGAUACACUUUAAAUUACAUAGUACUAAAAUAAGAAGACGCGGAAUCACGGAAUGGUAUUUGAAGUUCUCUCCGAAAAUAAAAAUCAUAUAAUCAUGUUCACAAAAAAACAAAAGGACUAUGCCAAUAAAUGGCAUAAAACAAAUCUUUAUUUGUAGUUUUUCCAUGUGCCUGGACUUUUCCCCUCACAUUUUGAACCCUACAAAUACAUGAGACAAUCCCCUCCAACUCUUCCUCUCUCUCUUAACAAACUCAAUCACUCCCUUAUAGAGAGAGAGGGAGAGAGAGGGAGGGAGAAGGAGAUGGAGAAGCCAAGCAUGGAGGCUCCUCUGCUGACAAGCUGUGAUAACAAGAGAGAAGGGGGAGGGGAGGUUGUGAGGGAGGUGAAGAAGCAGCUGUGGUUGGCAGGGCCUCUCAUAGCAGGGAACCUUCUGCAAACCAUCAUACAAGUCAUAUCCAUAAUGUUUGUGGGCCAUCUUGGGGAGCUUGCCCUCUCUGGCUCUUCCAUGGCCAACUCCUUUGCUACAGUCACUGGUUUCAGUGUGUUGGUACGUCCUUUGCACCACAAUUCUUUCAUCUCCCUUCUUCUUUAUUGUUUGUUCAUAACCGGUUCAGAAUUGAACCGGAUAGGAUAAGUCUAGAGAGCGAUGCUGGUAGAGAGGUCUGAGUCAUGCGAGGAAUCUUACUGUGCCCAAAUCUUGUCGAAAUCUCUGUGCUAUCCCAUUCAAUCCAAUACUGAGUGCCAAACAAGGCCAAAAGUGAUGAAACAUGUCUUUAUGUAUGAUUUUUUUUUAGCAUGUAUGAUUCAAGAAAUCUAUCAUUAUCUAAUGUUUAGAAAAAUAAAAUAGCCUAAUGUUGUGGUUUUAGUUCUCACUACAUGUCAUGUGUCAUGUUAGUUUAUGGCAAGAGUUUAUUUAAGAAUUAGCCAUACAAUUAGAAGCAUCAAAGCUAUAAUUAUUUGUCUUUAUCAAAUGAAAAUUCUAUGAUUAUUUAGGGUAUUUCCUUCUCCUCAACUGGAGGAGGAAGUCUUGAUUGUCAAUUUCUAGUGCAAAAUCUCCUUCCUGCAGAAACUAGUGACCAGUCUUUUUCUGGGUUAACUAUUUUGACUAUAAAAUGGAUCAGAAAGGAAAAGAAGAAAAACUACAGAAGUGUUAGGGCACUUGUAUAUCAGAAAUUUAGAUUUAUACUACUUUGUAUGUAAAGAUCUUCAUGGAAAAGGAAUAGGAAAUAGCAAUCCAUUUGGCCCUGUUUUUCUGAUAAUUAGUUAAGUUAGCUUCUUAGGAGACAGCAAACAAAUUAAUAGUGUUUCCUUUCUCAUCCUUCGCCAGCAUAAACGGCAUAAGGCCUGUGAUGUAGAGAUAUUUCAAUCCCCUAAGCAUCUACAUAGAGAGUACCAUGUUAAAACAUUUGCAUUGGAUAUACACUUCGCGUAUACGUUCCGCACAUAUCGAAUAUUUCCAGAAGAGCAAAAUACACACACACUUUGUUUCUUUUAGCAUUUGGACCAGGGAUUAAGUUUUCUGUUAAUCUUGAAGCCUUACAUGUAAUAGCUGAAACUAAAGACUGUACAUUAUGAAUUUUCUAGUGUUUUAUGGUUAGUAAGCUGAAUAUUGUUCGCAUCUGACGGUUCUGCAUCAGAAAAUAUUGGUAUGAUGCUUGGUUGUUUGCGUACUACAUUAGUAACUUUCGCUUAAACAUUUUUGGCAUGUACAAUAAGUUGCGACUCUUGUGACAUCAAUUUCCUAUUAAAUGAACAGAGCAUGUAGGAUUCAAUUUUUUCAUCUACAUGCGGGCACUACUACAUUUCUGUAGAAAGAGAUGUAGGAAUAUUUGCAUCUACGUACAUAUGUGCAUAGCUAAUGUUCAUGUCCGUCCCGUGUCUGUGUCCGUGCAACAUAGAAUAAGAAAAUUCCUUCGCUUUAAUACAUAGUAUCAUUGAAAUUAUGCUAGAAUACAUUGUCUUUUAUACCGUACCUCGCUGUUAGCUUCUGCUCACAUGUUUAGUCGACGAACAUUUGAUAUACGAACAGAUAGUUGAAGGUUUAUCAUUUCAUCCAAAGACAGUGGCGAGGAUUAUGCAAUGUAAAGCUGUAGUUGUCGGAGAGAGCUUAAAGAUCCUUUUAAAAACAGUACUUAUUAGUGUAAAAUAUGUGCGUAAAUUACAUGAAAGCUCUAUUUUGGCACUGAAUUUGUGUUUUAUGGUUUUGUCACUGCUUAGUCAAUUCUCUUUUGGUUAUCAAAGCUUUACUAUUCUAAUUCCUUUUUAAUUAGAUGGGAAUGGGAAGCGCUUUGGAUACUCUAUGUGGGCAAUCCUUUGGAGCGAAGCAGAAUCACAUGCUUGGCAUUCACAUGCAGAGGGCAAUGCUAGUGCUCAUGCUCGUAAGCGUUCCGCUCACUGUAAUCUGGGCCUGCACUGGCCAAAUCCUUGUUCUCUGCGGGCAAGACCUGGAGAUCGCAAACGAAGCUGGAAUAUACGCUCGAUGGAUGAUCCCCGCGCUCUUCGCGUACGGCCUUCUGCAGUGCCACGUCCGAUUCCUGCAGACGCAGAACAUCGUCCUUCCGGUUAUGAUAAGCUCCGGGCUCACGGCUUUGCUUCACAUCGGAGUUUGUUGGGUGUUGGUGUAUGGAUUAGGCCUCGGUAGCAAAGGUGCUGCUCUGGCAAAUGCUAUAUCAUACUGGAUAAAUGUGUUACUGCUGGCAGCUUAUGUUCGACUGUCGAAUGACUGCAAGAAGACUUGGACCGGCUUUUCGAGAGAGGCUUUUCAUGAUACUUUGAGCUUCAUCAGACUCGCCGUUCCGUCAGCUUUGAUGGUUUGGUAGGAAAACAGUUGAACUUGUGAUUCAUCAUAUAAUUUUGUUUAUGAUCAGAUCACUAUUUCUGACCUAAAGUGCUUCUUGAGACAGCCUGGAAUGGUGGUCGUACGAGCUUCUCGUGCUUCUUUCUGGUCUUCUUCCGAACCCGCAGCUUGAAACUUCCGUGCUAUCGAUAAGGUUAGAAAUGCUUAUUUAGUUUCAUUGUUUUGUGUCUCGAAAUUUGGUUAUCGAGUUCGAUUUUGUGCUCACGAUUCACCAAAAGCUUCGCGGUGCGACAAAUUUUAAGAAAAAAAGGAUGCCUGUGAUGAAAGCUGAGGGAUCGGAUCAAACAAUUAAGGAACAAACAGAUCAGAUCACGUUCCAGUUUUUCUUUCCUUUUCCACGCAAAUCCUUGUGUUCUAUUUUCUUUUACUGUUUUUGUGGUUUGUUUACUUCCUGAUCGUCGUUUUUCGUUUCUGCUCGUACGCUCGUCAUUACAGUUUUGUCAUAUUCUUGUACUAAGAGCAUCUUGUUUUUCUUUAGCCUUAACACUGCUUCGUUGGCAUUCAUGAUUCCUUUCGGUCUUGGAGCUGCAAUAAGGUUAGUUGUGCACGCAAAGUGUCUCUCUCUCUCUCUCUCUCUCUCUCUCUUUUAUUUGAAUUGAACAAAAAGAUAUUCUCAUCUCUUCUUUCCUCGCUUUUUCAUAGCACGCGCGUCUCAAAUGAGCUCGGUGCGGGGCGGCCUGAUACAGCUCGGCUCGCGGUACGCGUAGUGGUGUUUUUGUGCAUUGCAGAAGGAGUAAUGGUUGGACUGAUCAUGAUUUUGGUGCGCGGCGUCUGGGGAUAUGCAUACAGCAAUGAAGAGGAGGUUGUGAAAUAUGUGGCUGUCAUGCUGCCGAUUCUUGCAGUAUCCCACGUCUUCGACGGAAUCCAAAGUGUUCUUUCAGGUAAACUCUUUGUUCUAUUUUCAUGUCAAGUUUACUAUGUUCAUGUAAUUUUUUGUCUUUAAAACUUAUUUUGCUUCUCUCAUUCUCUUCGAUUACAUAAUAUGAAGAAAAUCUAGCCGAGUUCCACAAUUUUUACAAUCAGCGCGGAAAAUCUUUCAACGAUCACAACUUUUCGCUCGAGUGUUCGUUUUUAGCUUGCAAUCCUAAUUCGAAAAACACUUUUCGAGAUCUACGUAUAGGACCAAAUUCAACUAUUUAGACCUUCUUUUUUACAUUUUUAUGUAAUUUUCGAAAAGUUUUGUAUUUUGUCUAUUUUGAGUCUGAUUAUUUGAUUAUUUCUGUUCGGUUUAGAUUUAG